GCCCGGCGCCGACUACCAACUCACCAAGCUCUUGGGCCUCCGCCCCUCCGUCAAGCGCCUCAUGAUGUACCAACAAGGUUGCUUCGCCGGCGGGACGGUCCUCCGUUUGGCCAAGGACUUGGCCGAGAACAACAAGGGUGCACGUGUUCUUGUUGUGUGCUCUGAGAUCACCGCAGUCACCUUCCGCGGGCCUAGUGACACCCACCUUGACAGUCUUGUGGGUCAAGCCUUGUUUGGUGACGGCGCAGCGGCCGUCAUCAUUGGUUCGGAUCCAGUGCCCGAAGUCGAGAAGCCCUUGUUUGAAUUGGUGUCAGCAGCACAAACCAUUCUUCCCGACAGUGAUGGGGCUAUUGACGGCCAUCUCCGUGAAGUAGGGCUUACAUUUCACCUUCUCAAGGACGUUCCUGGGCUUAUUUCCAAGAAUAUCGAAAAGAGCCUUAACGAGGCCUUCAAGCCUAUAGGCAUUUCAGACUGGAACUCGCUCUUCUGGAUUGCACACCCAGGUGGCCCUGCUAUUCUGGACCAAGUAGAGUCCAAGUUGGCCCUUAAGCCGGAGAAACUAGAAGCUACAAGGCAAGUGCUGUCUGAUUACGGCAACAUGUCGAGUGCGUGUGUCUUGUUUAUUUUGGACGAAGUGAGGAGGAAGUCUGCUGAGAAAGGACUCAAAACAACUGGAGAAGGACUGGAGUGGGGCGUACUCUUCGGAUUUGGGCCUGGCCUCACUGUUGAGACCGUUGUGCUUCACAGUGUGGGUGCUUGAUGACAUGAAAAUCGGUGUUGAUUUAUCUAUCUGCUUCGUUUAUGUAUUGUUUCCGCCUUUUCUGGUUAGAAUUUGGCUUUUGGGAUAUUGUGUGUGGGCGUCAUGGGGUUAACUUGGUGCAAGGAAGGACCCUUACUUUCAUGUUGUUUACUGCAAUAUUGAUGAAAAAAGGGCCCUGAUUGGGCAAUGUAAUGAUGAGUAAAAUAUGGAUUGACGAAUAAUACCACUCUUUGAUUUUCAUGUAGUAUAAUCUCUUAGCUGCAUCUCCAUUUCAAACAUUGUGGUAAAGCCCUGCCCCUGAUUUGGGAUUCGGGAAGUCUUUGCUCGUGUUGAAAUAGAUCGUAAUGUGUAAAUGGCGAUCAAUGGAGGGGAUUUAGGGAUACUUCUGUGGUGAGCCUCGGAAUCAGAGUUGUCAUAAAGGAUAUUCUCCUAAUGCCAGCUUGAUCUCAUGAUAAAGCGAGGUGGCUCCGGGAGCGUGUAUUGGGCUCUUCGCAGUGAAAAUUUUAGGAGUACCGGCACUUGUGCUAAGUAAUGUUCCCAAUUUCACACUCAGAUAUUAUUUACUUUCUUUUCAAUUAGCUCAAUUUUGGUGUUAAAUUUUUACAAGUGGGGAACACCACCUGGCACAAGUGGCGAGAACACAAUGUAGACGGAUUAGGGUUUGCAAAAGCUAUAGCACAUACGUUUGAAAGGCGAAAACCCGUGGAAGUGAAAAAAAAAAGGAGCUUACACCCAGAUUAAUUUCCUUUUACGCCUGGGGAGAGGGAGAGAGAGAAAGAAGAAUGGCAAAGCAAAAAAGCGAAAAAUUUGAAAGAAAAAAAAAGAAUGAUGACUCGGACGUUGCUUAAUCCCGUUUUAUCCCACGUUGGAGUGUGAGAGUCUGUAAUACCAAGCAACAACUGAAACUCAUGGCAGCCUCUACCCCUGUUUUUUUCCCACGUUGGUUUCGUAUAUAUCUAUAUCUAUAUAUAUAAAGUGAGAAGCACACAAUGAUAAAGCAUUCUGAAAUGCCAAAAAUGUCCUCAUUUCAUAUCAGCAGUUGCACAGACUAAAGAUGGAACCGUCCUCCAUCGCACGUUCUUGAUCACCACAGUGCAUACAAAAGAGUAAAUUGGGUAAUUUUCUCGAACAAUAUUCUUAUCUAUGCCAAAAUUUUGAAAUGAGUUUCCGCCAGAAAUUUUCAUUUUCUGCUUCAAUUCAGGUACUCUAUGCCUAAUUGAAUUGUUCAUAUCUACUAAUGUUUGAUUUGUUAACUAAUUGCCCACUUUAAUACAUAACUAGCCUCUCUGCACGCACUAACGUGCGUGCGAGAGAUAUUUUUGCAUCACGGGUGCUACGCGCCCCUAAAAGAUGUAUUGUAUUAGUUUUUUUCCAUUGUAAUUGUCAAGAUAUACUUUAAAUGUAUUGUGCAUAGAGGAACUUUUUUUUUUUACCAUGCAUGUCCUAAAAAAUUAUCAUGUUUUUCAUUUUUACUUUGCGUAACGUAAAGAUUUAAAUGUUAUUCAUACUCAUGCGAGAGGCAUUUUUUCAUCACGGGAGCUACGCGCCUCUAAGAAUGUAUUGAUUUAGUUGUUUUUUUAUUUGCCCAUCCAAAAUUUUAAACUUUGAAAUACUAACACUCAUUUUUCCAAUGAAUUUGUGAGAGGCCAACAUCCAUGUUUCCUCCUACCUUUUUAAUAGAUACCUUCAAGUGUGUAUUUUCUUCUUCUUUUGAUUAGAAGUAGUAAGCACAAUCCUGGAAUAGUAUUUCUCCAAGUUGAAGGAAAUUUGCAUUCUAUUGAAAAAAAACACACGUGCUCUACCUUUUUUAACCGUUCAGAGAUCGAAUAAAAUUGGCACACUUGUUCGGACGUUUUCUACCAACUUAACAUAAUAAUAAGUAUGAUCACAGUCAGCUACCACGAAAAAUGGUUGAAUUCCACCUUGGUCAAAAAAACUUAAACUUGUUCAAAUGUUAUUUUGAGUUUAAAAUUGAUAAAUAAAUAAGACAAAAUAACCUAACUAUCCAAUCUCUAUUCUUCUCUUGAUCCUCCCAAAUUUGUAUUUCAAUGGGAUAAAUGUAAAAAUUAUGUCUUUGAACUGAAAUUGUUUAAUCCUCCAAACCUAAAAGGAGAGAAGCACAUAAAUAGAAUGAAGCUAAACAUAAUCUUUCAAAUCAAUCUCGUACAUCACAAAUGCCACUACAGAGUGGAACUUGAUCUUUAUAUGUAAAACUCCACAACACCACCUUAUACAUUAUGUUGGCUUUUUUUUUUUUUUUUUAUCAAUAAUGUGAAAAUUUUGAUCUUUAUCUAUACAGUACAUGUAAAAUUUACUAUCAAUAAUUAAUCAUGUAAUAUGCACAUCAAUCAUCUUAACCUAACUAUUAGUCAUAUAGAGCAUUUGGUUUUCAUUUGUAAGCCAUCAUUAAAAUAAUAAUUUCUGCGCAAAUCAAAUAACAAAUUCACAUAUAAAUACACUACUUUACAUUGGUAUCAAAUUAACUUUUACAAAUAGAUCAGUAUAUAAAAUGGACAUUAUUGAUGCAUAAAACCGAAGGUCUUGGAACAACGUAAAUCCGACCGUGAAUCUGCAAGAAAUGUAAAUAACACAAGAUGUAUCGUGGUUCACCCCAAAGUUUGGGCUACGUCCACACUGAUUGUAUUGUAUUUCUCUGAGAAGUGAGGGAGAGAGAGAGCUCUGAGAGUGAGAGCUUUGAGAGGGGUGAGAAGGCUCUAGAAAUGGCCUCCCAAUUGUGAGGGUGAGGGGUCCUUUUAUAGAAUAAGGACUCCUCACUUAUUACAUAUUUGCCCAUUCCUUUAUUACCUAAUUACAUUUAAGUCCCCCGAGUAUUUAUACGAGGUCUAAAUACGAGGCCCUAAAUAUGGUAUAAACAGUAGUCCCCCAAGUCUUCAGUCAAGAGAGUCUUUUGGCUGGAGACUUGAAAUUCAGUCCAUGUGUGGGUCGAAGUAACUAGAUGUUGUCUUGAACUAAUGUUCGAUAUGAGGUGGUGCUCAAUUUGAAAUGAUGCUCAACUAGAAGUAGCACAUGUUGCGAGGCUGCUCGGCUCGUGGCUUAUGUUGCCUUGGUUGGCUCGGCUUAUGGCGUUGAAGGUGAGGAAGUCCCUUUUAUAGAAUAAGGGAUCGCUCAUCAAUACAUGAAUGAUGGGCUAAAAUUGAUGCUCUCUAAUGGUGGUAAGGGAGUCCCUUUUAUAAAAUAAGGGCUCACUUCUCAAUACAUAAGUGAUGGGCUAAGUCCCCCAAGUAUUUUUCAUGAGGUCCAGUUGAGGCCCAAUAUAUGGUGUAUAGUGUAGUCCCCCAAGUUUUCGGUCAAUAGAGUCUGUUGGCUGGAGACUUCAAAUUGAAUCCAUGUAUGGGCCGAAUUGGCGGUUGUUCGGAGGUGGUAUUUGUAUACCCUGCACUGAAGCUUUGUAGGUGAAGCUUUGCAAGUGAAGUUUUGAAGCUGGGGCUCUGUAAAUAAAGCUUUUGAAGCUAGAGCUUUUGUAAAUGAAGCUUUUAAAGCUAGAGCUCUGUAAAUGAAGCUUUUGAAGCUGAUUGACAUGAAUGAUACUCAUUAAUGUUUGAUUGACAUGAGUGAUGCUCAUGGAUGUUGUCAUGAGUGAUGCUCAUGAAUGUUAACAUGAGUGAUGCUCAUGAAUGUUGACAUAAAUGAUGGUCAUGAAUGUUUGUGUAUGAUUGUUAUGAGUGAUGCUUAUGAAUGUUUAUGUAUGAAUGACAUGAGUAAUGUUCAUGUAUAAUUUGGAAUACUGGGCAUACUUUUGAUCACCUGGUUGGUGGCAUGAAUGAGAGUACGGGUUGUACAUUUCAUUACCUGGUUGGUGGCAUGAAUGGCUAGUUGUCAAAUGAUAUUAGAGUACGGGUUGUACAUUUCAUCACCUGGUUGGUGGUAAUAGCGGCAGGUUGCCGAAUAAUUUUGGAGUACUGGGUGUACUUUUGAUCACUUGGUUGGUGGUAAUAGGAGAGUACGGGUUGUACAUUUCAUCACCUGGUUGGUGGCAUGAAUGGCUAGUUGCCAAAUGAUAUUAGAGUACGGGUUGUACAUUUCAUCACCUGGUUGGUGGUAAUAGCGGCAGGUUGCCGAAUAAUUUUGGAGUACUGGGCGUACUUUUGAUGACUUGGUAGGUGGUAAUAGCGGCGGGUUGCCGAAUAAUUGUAGAGUACUGGGCGUACUUUUGAUCACCUGGUUGGAGCUAUUUUGGGCUUAUGGGCCUUUGCCCUCUACCCAAAAUUCCAGCCCAUUUAUUUUGGGCUUUGCUGUUUUUUUUUUGUUUUUUGUUUUUUUUUUUACCACCUGACGGGGUUUAUACAUAUUACCCUCUGUUGGAGUUUAUACAUAUGUCUCUGCAAGAUAAAAUAAAUUACAUCAUUAUGGUGGAGUGUUUAUUCCUUGCUUUUGCUUUCUCUUUUGCUUCCUCUUUUCUCUAAAAUGACAGCUACUUUAGACAGCCUUUCUGACAUUGCCCAUUUGCUUUUCUCUGGCUUUUAAAAAAUAGGAACAUGCAUCCGUCAACAAAAGCAAAAGUACAAACUUUCUCUUUUAGCUUUUGCUUUUACUUUGCAGAGUGCAGAUAGCAUUCACGUUCUCUGUUUCCCUUUCUGCUUUUGCCGACAAAAGCAGUGGAUGAUGUUGGCGUGACAGGUGAUUGAGGAGAGGCAACUGGAUAUGACUGAGGAUGAGCUCUUUGCUGUUGAUAAUUAUACUGCAGAUGGUGGCUCUGAUAAUUAUAUUGAUCUGAUCUUUUGAUUCUAGAAUUGGAAUUCGGGGUACUCGAAUAAGAGUAAGAUCGAGAAGUGUUGAUUUCAACUGUUUUGAUAGGAUCUCUCUGAUCAAACGAAGCUCUGCCUGGAUUGAUCUCAUGUUGCCUUCUUCUUGUCCAACCAUCAAGCAAAUUAAAUUUCUCCUCUAACUCCUCAUGCUCACCAGCAUCUUCGUCGCUGCUACCACUACUCAAUUUCUGGCUAGAGAAGGAAUAAGCAAGGCUGGUACUCCCUUCACGCUUCAAGGCAGUUUGCUUGGUUUGCUGUUGAUAUUUAGAAAGAGAACUUCAAUUUUCUGUAACAUUGCUUGGUUCUCUUUCAUUUUGCCUCCGAGUGAGGUGGGGUAAGUGGAGAAAGCAGGGAUGAAAUACUGGCAUGGUCUUGGAGACAGGUUGGAUGAAAUAGUUGUUGACCCAGUCAUUGCCUCCGAGAGUUAUGAGCACAAAUGCACUGUUCACUAGCCGUGUUACCUGUUUUGCUCCAACAAGCGCAGUCAGUCGUUGCUGGUAUUGUUGGAACAAUUCAAACUGCCUGAAGAUCCUUAUAAUAGUAAGCAGGAAGAAGAUGAGGCCCAGAUCUGAUGGCGCCACGAUCUGGUGGGCGAUGCUGACCGACUACAUGUAAGGAGAUGGACCCAGAUCCACCGUCGUGAGUGGAAGCAAGAGCGAAGCUGGAGCUGGUGACAAAAUAUCCAUCAGUGGUACAUUCCAAGUUUUCGAGGCUUCGACCAAAACAGCGACGGAGGGUUCGAGUUCAGGAGCAGGAGAGUCAAGGCGAAGCGAGCCACGGGCUUCCAAUUCGAAGCUCGAUGACAGGGUUUCGUUCACUUCCAUAUUCAACCCAGGCCAUUGAUUUGGAUCACCAAGUCAACCCGGUUCAUGAUUCGGAGGAUCCGAUUCCUGUGAUGGAUCUCCAGAGCCUGAAACUUGGAGAAGCUUGACAUCGAUGAGAUCAGGGAUGCCAAAGAGGCACUGAUGGACUGAAGCUGGUGCUUGUGUCGCUCCUUCUCAGAGAUGGUGACGGCAAAGGCAACACCCACAGGUGGAGUGCUGUCGUCGGGAUACACCUCAUUUCCCUUCUUAUGCGUCUGGUUCUUCGACAGCUCUUUGUCUUGGAGGAGAAAGAGAGAGAUUUACAUUUGGAUUUCUUUUUUUAUUUCUUUUGAUUUCUUUUUUUGUUUUGGUUUCUGUGUAGGACUGACCGAGAGAUGAGAAAGAGAGAGAUUUGGUUUUUUGGAUUUUUUGUGAUUUUGCAGAUCCACGGUGGUGGUAUGAAAAAUUGAGAAAGAAACUGACAUAGUUUUUGUAUCGAUUCCCACAGACGGCGCCAAAUGUUGAUGUAUAAAACCGGAGGUUUUGGAACAACGUAAAUCCGACCGUGAAUCUGCAAGAAAUGUAAAUAACACAAGAUGUAUCGUGGUUCACCCCAAAGUUUGGGCUAUGUCCACACUGAUUGUAUAGUAUUUCUUUGAGAAGUGAGGGAGAGAGAGAGCUCUGAGAGUGAGAGCUUUGAGAGGGGUGAGAAGGCUCUAGAAAUGGCCUCCCAAUUGUGAGGGUGGGGGGUCCUUUUAUAGAAUAAGGACUCCUCACUUAUUACAUAUUUGCCCUUUCCUUUAUUACCUUAUUACAUUUAAGUCCCCCGAGUAUUCAUACGAGGUCUAAAUACGAGGCCCUAAAUAUGGUAUAAACAGACAUAAAUUUAAGAAAGUGACUAAAAUUUUCAGUAUUUGCUUGGGAACACUUGCAUCCAAUCAUAGACUAAAAAAAUAAUCUAUUCAGAAAAAUAAAAGAGAAACGAAAAAAUUACUUACAAAUUCCUUGCCGUCUUCUUCUUAUUCAAAUUUUCAUCUCUAACAAAAGCUCUGAAAAUAAAAGUAAAACUGUAAAAGUCACAAAAAACAAUCGAAGAGAGUCAAUCGGAAACCGCAAAUAUCACAAAGCAAUCCAAAACCAAAACAAAAUUAAAAUAAAACUGCAGUAGAAACCCAAUUAGAAUAUUGCGAUCCCGUGGCCUGAUGCUUCAUCUCUGAAAUGCCUUUUUUUUUACUUUUAUGCUUUUAAUCUCUUGGAAGUCCAUAACAUGGCAGUCUUGGAAUUCCAUCAUAAAAAAAACUCAAACCUUUUCUAUCAUUUUGACACAUGUACGAAAAAUUGUUCAAAAGAAUUACAGAUAGCCUAAGUUAAAGAGUAUGUUAAUACAAUACCUUUACAUUUUAUUCACUUGGUGGUGCAGUCUUAAUACAUAUAUCCUAAGUUUUUAGAAAUUUAAAUUAGCUCAUGCAAACACAUCAUUAAAGUCUUCUAAAAAAUUUGACCAUUUGUGUGAUCACUCUUCUCGACCUAUGUUGAUCUCAUCUCUAAUGCAUGAAUUCCUUCUUUGUGAGAAAUAUCUACAUGGGCCAAUCCACCCAUGUAUAUGCAUUGCAUCAAGAAGAGAACAUGUACUCAUAUGUUGACAUUUCAUGUAAAGAGUGUGAUUAUUCGUGUCUCCUAACAGUUAAUCUUCAUUUAGGUUUGUAACGGAACUCUAUAUCGAUCAAUUCAAAAUUUCUCACCACAGUUUUCAUGGAUUAGAAACUGAGAAUCUUGUUAUUUCCAAACUGAAUCUAAUUUUUGCACCGGCGCUAUAUGAACCCCUAAACAUCACUUUACAUUUGUUUCAUGAAUGAGUAAACAAUAAUGGUAUUAACGUUAAACUAUAGGACCUGGCACAAACACUUUUACUAAUCAAGCGCGGGACAUAUUUAUCCUUAUUUUGUGAUAAGGAUGAUCAUGCAAACAAUGAAUUGCCGUGAAUGGUCACCAUUACUAUAAGGAAACUCAAACACACCCAUAAUGCAAGCAAAACUCUUACGCAGAGGAAUAUAAAAGUUUAUCUAAUACAGUAUCAUGUAUAUUUUCCACACAAAAUUGUAUUCGGCUUUCAAAAUCACAUCCAUAUAAUAUAUUUCAAUAUUAGUUCAUCAACUUUUAAAUGUGAAGAUUGGAGAAUGCUUACCAAAUCGUUCUUGAAGGUUAGCGAUUUUAGGGGUUUGUGGGUUUUCAGAUGUAAAAGAGGGAGUGCGUGUUUCAUCCAACAAGAUUCUCAGUCUCUCAUUAAAAUGUUCAUAAACCCAGUUGAAAAUAAGCACAUUCACUUGCAAAAUGUCUCCUUUGUAAUUGAACCCAUAUAUUGAUGGAGUCAUUCAAGAGUCAUCCACAAAUGCUUCUCUCCAGCAUUUGAACUCGCUCCAACUGGAACUGAUCUCAAAAAAUAUAAAAUUCAAGUAAUCGGGAACUAAAGAUGAAAGAAAAUACAAAUCAAAUUUGAUAAACUGUGAGACCUGUAAAUGCCGAUUGAUUAACCCACCCAAGGUUGCAGACGUCUUCACUGGCUUUUUGUAACAUCUCUCGGGUAGUUACAUUGAACGUUUUAACCAUCGUUAUUCCUUCAUUGGCAAUGUGAAGGUCUCUUUUGAGGUUUUCCUUACUAAAACAAUCUCUACACAUUUGAUAACCUUACAUUAAUAUCCAAUUCAAAAGAAACCAACAAUCCCACCAAAAAAAUAAAAAUCUCCUUCCCCCUCCAAUCUACUACUGAUAAAUUAAUAAGUAGAAUCAAACACACACACUCAUUCCUUCAUACCUAAUGAUAUUCAAUGCAACUGACAAUUACACACUUAUUCCAUGAAUGGGUCGAAGGAGAAGUACUCUUCAUCCCUACUUUUGCAAGUCGUCGUUCCCAUCGCAAAGGGGUUGGAGCAGAUAAAUUUUGGUUUGAAAGGAAUCAAAUUUCAUGCCUGCAUAAAACCCCAUAGAAUAUGAAGAAUUUUAUUUAUUUAUUUUAACGAAAUAAAAGCAGAUUAGGCACAAAGAAAAAUAGAGAUAAAUCAAAACCUUUAAAACAAAUCAACACAAUAUCAUGAACCCUUGCUUAUGAUAAACUUUGUUCUUUAAUUCGUGUCAGUAAAUACAAACUAAAAUUGACUUGGAAAUACUAAAUACAAACUUAUAUAUACAUCCUCAAAGCUGCAGCAGCAGUAGAGCGCAUCAAAUUCAUCACCUAAAAGAUAAACCGUUAAAAAAAACCUAAAAACUAAAAAGGUAAAUUUAGAUAGAGAUUUACCCAAAGUUACUCAAACCUUUGAACUUUGGAGCCUAAUAGAAUCAUCUUGGCCCUAUAACAAAAAGGAGAGAAAGAAUUAAGAAAACUAAAAUAAAAAGCACCAAGAUUUCACAGAAGAUGGAUAUGAAUGGUUGGGAAAUGCCUUUUGAGUCAAGAAUCUCACCAAAUUAAUUCAAAUAGCAUCGCAUGUCUCUCUGUGUGUGUCCAAAUAUCAGUUUGAAAAUUGAACAUGUUUGUGUCAAUGGUUGUGGAGAAAACUGCUUGGAAAGUUAGUGUAGAUGGUGCUGGUAGUUUGUAGAACGUGGAGACUGUUGAAUCCCACGUUCGCGGAGCUUGUUGAACUCUCCGUUUGGAUGCUUUUAUCUCUAUUUUAGUUAAAGGUUUUUUUACCAGUUUGUCCUCCAUUUUUCCUAUUUUUGGAUUUCAAUUGUGAAGAAAACAAAAGGGCUUUCUUGGUAUUUCUGAAUGCUUCACCAAACUGGUCUUCUCCAUUUAUAUAUAUAUAUAUAUAUAUAAAAGAUUGUUUUUUUCUGUGAGAUAUUAAACGCUCUCGCUCUCCUAAAAUGGAGGAGGAGUGGUGUUGGUUGGUUGGGUUAAAUUCAUUUUAUCUCAUUUUUUUAAAUUCAUUAUAUCUCAUUUUUUUCGUUUUUUUUCUUUGAAAACUGAUUUGCGUCGAACGUGGUUGAAUUUGUGUCUUCCACGUUUGUUCUUUUCAAUUUUAUCUCCUUUUUUUUCUAAUUUUAUCUCCUUUUUUUUCUAAUUUUAUCUCCUUUUUUUCUAAUUUUUUUCUUUUUGGUUAAAUUCAUUUUACCUCCUGAGUGAUCUGACCUCCCGAACCUUGCACCAAACUAAGGAAAAUGAAGAGGAGGUUUGGCGUGAAAAAGCUUUAAAAAUGGAAGAGAAGUUAGAGGACGGUGGGGGGGGGGGGGACGAAUGAGGGUGUUCUAUAACCGUAAAACUCCAUUGUAGAUAAUUAUCAUCAUUUUUUUGUUAAUUAAAAUAGUUAGUUUUAAUUCUAAAGUAGAGAUAUAUUUUUUUAAUACAGAUUUUUUAGUUAUGGUUUUUUUUCCGGGUUUGUCCUCAUUUUCUGGAUUUGGAUUGUGAAGAAAACAAAGGGGCUUUCUUGGCAUUUUUGAAUGCUUCACCAAACUAGGGCUCUCCUUUUAUAUAUAUAGAUAUAUAGAUUAUCAGAACGUACAUAGUUCCACCAUGAUCAUGGAAAAGAUUUGGACCCGUUCAUAUGUUGUUUUGAGUAUAAAAUUAACAAAACAAAAAAAAGAUGAAAUGACCUACUAUCCAGUCACUAUUCUUUCCUUGGUCCUCCCAAAUUUGUAUGCCAAACCAUCGAAAAGUACAUUUCAAUGGGUCAAUAAUCUAUAUGCUAUGGAUGAUCGUGUUUGUUAAUUAUAUGAACUCAAUCCCCUUCUUGGCUUGGAUGUUGAAUGCAUGCACUUUUUUUAUUGCAAAUAAAAUUUAACCUUUUCUUGAUCCUCCCAAAUUUGUAUUUUCAUGGGAUAAAUGGAGAAGCCAAAAUGACUUGUCUUUGAAGUUUGAACUGAGAUAUUUUAAGCCUCCUAACUUGAAAAGAGAAAAGAACAUAAACAGAAUGAAGCUAAACAUGAUGUUCCUAUCAAUCUCUUACAUAACAAAGGCCACUAUAAAGUAGAACUUUAUGUCUAAAUGAUAGCAAACAAAACAAGGCUUUAAAUUGCCAUCAAAUUAAAUUUAAGAAAAAAGAAAAAAAAUUCAGUAUUUGCUUUUCAAAAAACUUUAUUGAGUACCCUUUUCUGGAAGAGUACAUUAGUGACGUUUUGACUGGAAGAGUACAUUUCCCCCACACUUGUUAGAAAAAACAUGCCACAGGUCAUCGUAGGUCCAAAUUUGAAAUUUUGAUUUUCAAACACUUAUACUGCUUAUAUACAUGGAUAAGUAGGAUCGAACACACAUAUUUAUUCCUUCAUUAUUCAGUACAAUUGUCAAUUGCGUAGGGUCGAACUGUUUAAUUAGAUUCUAAUUACAUCUUGAUAUAUAUAGAAACUUACAAUGCCUACGUUCUCGACAUACAUCUUUGAUCUUCAUUGUUGAGCAAAAAUUGUACAUAAUAUGUAAACAAAUAAUUCACUCGACACAAUUUCACCCUCGUUCAUUUUUCCGAAGAGGGUUUUAUUAAUUCGAGUUCGACCCAUUCUAGGCUACGCGCCUAUUAAUUACAACCUUUCUUUUGGGAAAGAAAUACCCUUUGAUUCCAAUUCGAAUAAAAUGUAACUUGAGGAUUUUGGUGUUUGUUUGAUGUUGUGACUGCAUCUAGGUCGAAUCCUAGAUUGCCUACGUACCCUCUUGAGGGAUCAAGUCACUCGUAGUUCACGAUGUAUUUGUUGGAGUUUAAUGCCUUGUGCAGUUUUAGCUCAUGCGGGCAAAGAGCAACUGAUGCCUUGUGCAGUUUUAGCUCAUACAGGCGAGGACUUUAAGCCGUUGGAGCUUUAAUGCCUUGUGCAGUUUUAGCUCAUGCGGGCGAGGACUUUAAACCAUUGGAGCUGUAUGUAACUUCUUGAUUUUUGAGACUUGUUGCAGCUUUGUGUCAUUUGAUACUUGAUACGGCUUCAUGCCAUUUGAGACUUUUCUUCGGCUUCGUGCCAUUGGCCACUUUUCUUCGGCUUUAUUGCAUGAGCAACAUGUAUUAAUUGAAAGUCUAAUAAUUCGUGUUUGAAGAUCUCUCUUACUCUUUGUAGAAUUACUUGAUCAAAAUAGUAAGAAUGAAUUUAGUUUAUAUAAACCAGAGAUUCGUUUCGGCUUUACGGUUGCGUCUAAAACUUUGAUAUCAGACUGCCUACGUAUCCUUAACGGAAUCAAACCGGCGUAGUUCAUUAAUUUUGAGACUCAUCGCGACUUUGUGCUAUUUGAUACUUGAUAUGGCUUCGUGCGUUUUGAAGUUUAACACGGCUUCAUGCUUCUUUUUUAUGUACUUUUCUUUUGAAUUUUCAACCCCUGGAACUUUGAACCCACUUUGGAUUUUCAAGCCUUCUGACAACAAGCUUUACUCCUCCUUUUUUUUAUUUUUUUUUAUGUGACUUUAAAACUUUCCUCUUCUUCUUCACGUGGGCAAUUUUCCAUAUGAGUUGAUGAUUUCAGUUAGCAUUUCCCCUCUCUCGUUUUAUAUUCUUCUUUGAACUUUUCAAACCCAUUUAAACAUGUGAUUUCGAACCCAUCAAACCUAAACUUAUGACCAAUCUGACAUCAAGAUUUACACUUCUUUAUUUGACUUUAAAGGUCUCCAAUUCCAAUGGGACUUCUAAUUUCAAUCGACCUUACUUUUCCUCUAUAUGAGCAGAUUCCCACGUGAUGAACAAGACUAUUUCUUUGUUCCUCUUUUUCCUGGAACGUCUUCAAAGAAUGGAGCAGCAGUAACGUGUCAAAUUCUUUGGUGAUCUUAUGAAGGACAGGUUUUUGAGGACAUGGUCUCCAUACUUCUUGUUCUCAGAGCCAAAAUUGAUAAACUCUUAUAUGAAUAAAACAAAUGAAAAAGCCAUUGGUUUUCUUCUCUUUAUUUAAUCUCCAUGUAGAGCAAUAUUCCUACGUGAUGAGCAACUUUUCCUUCUUUUAUUUUCCUUCCUUUUCAUUCAUUUUGUCUUGAAGCCCAUUUCAUUUUGUCUUCACGUCCGUCAUUUUGUUGUUGCUUUUCCAUGUUCGUGCUUGUUGCUUGUUGCUGCAGUAUUCAACAUCUUCAACUUUGAAAAGAUAGAGCAUGGCGUCGGAACUCUCACGGAAAUUUCAGGUUUGAUUGGAACUUCACGGGAUGGUUUAGACAACCCCGAAGAAAUUCAUAGGACUAAACUGCAGCGGCACAAACUGCUCCUUUUUCUUCUCGGCAUGGACGAACUUGCUGGGCAGAGAUCACGGCAUGGCUGCUGCUGGUAUGUCCAUCUUUGCGCUGUUGGCGAGCCUCGGAACCAUCGUUGGACAUGCUGGGUUCUUUUUUUCCACUUGUUCAAACAUGCAGAGUGAUGGUUUCUUCUCCGUUGCAUCUCUGAGAAGAGAAAGAGAGAUGUCGAAAACCUCUUUAGACACCCGAGAAGCUGCAGGAGCUUCACAGAGAGCCUUUGAGCCUCUGUAAUCUGUUUUAAAGUGCAACUUUAGAACCAUUUCCGCUGCAUCCUUGGACCUGGGGACAUGACACUUUUCCCAAAUUUUCGGCUUUCUUGCCUUCGGAUGUCUUCCACAUUUUCUGAAAGCCUUGGGUUAUUCUCGCCACUGCCAGUGGGAUGGGGAUGGCUCAUGGCGAUUGGUGUUGCAUUUUUUCUUUCAUUUCUUCACACUGACCAUCGCUGCCAUCUUCUCAUACGAGCCUUUGUCGAAUUUGUUAAUGGUCUGGACCCGCGUGCCUAACUACAUCGCUUGGCUCAACGUCCUUGGAGUGCGGAUGGCACUGCCCUUGGGCUUCUUCCGAAAGACUGCCGGAAACAACGGUUGAAGAGCGGUGGUAUUGCGGUUUGGUUGAUUGCUUGGUUCACCGUCCUCGGGGCCCUUGGGCUUCUUCCGAAGGAAUGCUUGAGACAAUGGUUGAAGAGCGGUGGUGACUGGGUUUUUAUCAAAGCAACGCCCCUAUUAAAAGGGGUGGAUUGCUUUACCUGUUGUCAGCAAAAUUAAGGGGGAAGGAGAAGAGAAUUUUUUCUUCUCUUAUCUUUUGGCUGCCACGGGGAAAUUUGCCCAUCCAUCUUUCUGGCUUCGGUGAGAGAGGAAAAGCCAAGUUCCUCUUUCAUUCAUCCUGCAAAAAGCUGCACCCAAUACACAAAACCAAGAACAAGUUAAAGAUAAAGAUCGAUACCUUUGGGUAUUUUGACGUUCUUUGUCGUGUGCACACUUUGAUGUUCUUUGUCGUGUGUACACCUUCCUCCUUUCUUGUUUUUUUUUUUUUUUUUGCUGUUGUGUACUUUUCCCCCCACUGUCUUGCUUUGUUCUUCUUUGUCGUCCGUUCUUCACCGUCGUCUCUCAAUUUCUGCAGUCUCUCUUUUUCUUUUUCUGUUUUUUUUUUCUUUGCUUUGGUUCGAUGCCUUUUUAUAGGCAAACAGUGGACAUGGCAGUUGAAGUUAGUGGGAUGCAACUUUCUUGGGGUGUGGAGAUGCUGAGAGAAAACCAUAUCUUGAGUGGAGAACGUGAGAGUUUUAGAGGGUUCUAGAUUCACACGUUCUCUACACCCAAUUGCCAUGUAGAUGACAAACUCCUUCAGACUUGGUGUACGUUGAGGUCCACGUGUGCGGGUAUAGAGUUGUUUUUUUCCUCUCUUUAUUUCUUAUAUAUAUAUUAUAUAAAUAUAGUAUACAUAAGAAUAUAUGCACAUAAAGUGAGCCUUAUUUCUAGUCAGUCCAUAUUUUGGACUCUAUUAUUAUUACUAUUAUUAUUUUUAAGUCUCCCCAUUUUUAUUAAGACUUGCUAAUAUAUUUUGUUUAUGAAAAUAUAUAGCUCAACAUUCAUCCCAACUCUCUCCGUCUUGGAGUCUCAGUAAUUUCCAUAGCCUAGUCACCUUCGACCUCAUUCUACAACCGUGUCAACGAAGAAGUCGUCGUAUCCCAUCGAGAAGGGCUGGGAGUAAACAGAUUUUUGGUUAUAUAGAAAUUAAACUUUUUGCCAUCUGGAUGUUAAAACCCUAUACAAUAUGCAGAUAUUUUUAUCAAAAUAAUAUGCAGUGUAAAUUAACACAACAAUAUGAACCCUUGAUUAUGAUAAUCUUUGUUCUUUGAUUCGGGUCAGUAAAUACAAACUAAAAUUUACUUAGAGAUACUAAAUACAAAUAGUUAAAAAAAACAAAUAAUAAAAAAAAAAUCCUAAAAACUGAAUAGGUAAAGUUGAGAUUUACCCACAAUCAGUCAAAGCUUUGAACUCUACUUCUUGUCCAAUGGUUGCAAUUAGCACACAUAGGCCUUGUUUGGCACACCGUAUAAGGCACCAGAUAGUACUAAUAAUACGGUGUACGGUGUUUGGUGGCCGUUUGGAUUAAAUAGGCACCGGAUUAAAUAAUCUGGGCCCACCUUUUUUAUCUGGUGUUUACCUGCUUGCGUAUAUCGUCCAAAUUCACAGUAUAAUUUAGUCGGUCUCACUCUCGCUCUCGCUUCCCCUCCGCUCUCUCUCUCUCUCGCUCUCCGCUCGCGAACUCGACCCCCUUUCUCUCGCCUUCUCUUGGCGUCGUCGUCCUCCCUGUCACCUUCUCUCGCCAUCGCCGUCCUCACUGUUGCCUUCUCUCGCCAUUGCUUUCUCUCGCCAUAUUUGCUCUCCUAGUCCUCGUCGCCUUCCUCGUCGUCCUCUCCUUAUGGCCUUCCUCAUCGCCUACUCGUCGUCCUCCCUUGCAACUGGGUUUUUUGUCGUCGUUUUCUGCGGCAGAGAGAUGAUUUCAAUUUGCUGUUUGAAUUUAUUUGGGAUUCUUCUGCAGUCGGAGAAGAAGAAGAAGAGAGAGAGGGAGGGAGUUUGGGGGUGCGGCGGAGAGAUAUGAGGAACAAUUAUUUGGGAUUCUUCUUUGGUCGGGGAAAAAGAAGAAGGAAGAGAGAGGGAGGGAGUUUGGGGGGUGCGGAGAGAUCUGGAAAAAGUUUCAGUUUUUUAUUUUUUUUAUUUUAAGUUUAAUUUUAUUUUAAGUGUGAUUCCUCCUAUCCGAUAUAAUAUCAAACAUAGUAUAAAUAAUACGGUCAUUAAUCCGAUACUGCACCAAACGCCCGAUUAAUUUAAUCAGUACUAUCCGGUGACUAUUUAUCUUAUCCAACAGAAAUAGUCAGUACAGUCCGAGCUGCUAAACAAGGUCACAGAAUUGUCUGGAGCCUAUAACAAAAAUAAGAAGAGAAAAUGAAAAAAUAAAAAUAAAAAAGCACGAAGCUUUCACUAUAAAAUAGAAUUUUAGAUAUGAAAUUUUACCCAAGAUGGAUAUAAAUGGUUGGCAAAAGCCGAUUGCGUUAAGAAUAUCCCCAAAUUAAUCCAAACAGUAUAGCACGGUCUCGCUUCCAAAGGGCUUGAAACUGGAACUCUGAUACUAAUUGGAAUGAAAUCCAUGUGAGUACGUGUGAGAUUGGAAAUCGAAAAUAGCACUUUAAAACUGAACGGUAUUAUCGCUUCUCCAUGUAACUGCAAAGUAUGUGCUGUUAAUGCCGAAAACGUGGAGGAGAUUAUAUUGUGCUUUUCCUUUUGAAAUUCCACUGGAGAAAGGCGCUUUUGUAGAAGGAUGUAGUUCAUUAUUUAUGUGAUGGGUAAUCCAAGGGUCUCAAUUAAUUUGAAAGUGUUGGUGCCUUGCGUUUGAUGGUUGUAAAUUCUCAUUUAUUAUAUGUGCAGAUAUAUUGUCCGCAUCUAAACAUCUCUCAAUAUUUUAUUUUUUGUAUGACAAUUUUAACCCUAUUAUAUUUGUGUAUUACCAUUUAACCGUAUUAUAUUGGGACAGUCGUGUAGUUUUUUAUUUUUUGAAAUGAGGAUAUUUUGGGUUUAUCGAAUGCUUCAUCAAAUUGUGGCUCUCAUUUUAUAUAUAUAGAUAAUUUGGAGAUUUUUACUUGAUUAUCAUUUGAACUAUUCGAAAUUAUUUAUCUUUACCAGAUUUUUUUAAUGGGUUUUGGACCAAUUUGUAGAAAGCUCCCUCUUUUGUGUAUUGGUUAUUCAGUUUCUAGCUUAAUUGUUGCCAUUCUAGAAUGCCAGAGACAUUUAUAGGAGUUACUGAAGUUACUCAAUUACCAGUUCUUUACAAAAAGCCUUCUUCAGCCGCAGAAAUUCUUGAGCUUUCAUCCCACCAGAGAUUGGUGGCUUCAACUGUUGGAAAAUAUUAUUAUUUAGUUUAUUUUAAUGUUUGGUUUUAUGAGCUCAGCCCUUAGAAUUAGGUUUUGUUAGAGAUUAGGUUUAGUUUAUUAUAAAUAGGUUGCUUUGUUAUUCAUUAGAAAAUAAUUCAUUCACAAUGUAGUCUCUAGGGUUUUUGUAGCCGUCUCGUCAUUCUCAAUUCGUUCUUUUAAUAAUAUUCAUAUUAUUUGUUAGUCUUGUUCGUUGCGCACUCUGAUAUUCAACUUGGUAUCAGAGCAGGUUAAAUCCUUCGGGAAUUAAUCUGUUUUGGGGUUGAUAUCGAUUUGUUUGUUUGUUCACUAUCAGUUUUGUUUUAAUUAGGUUUUUGUUGUUUGAAAACAAAGAAAAAAAGUUGAACCUGUUUGCUUGGGACUUGGGAGGCAUCCCAAACCUGCACCGAAGCUGCUGUUUGCAUCCGCUCCACUCUGUCAUCAAGCCACAAACCCAACCCACCUGCUGCAACCUUUCUCUCUUGCAGAAUCACCCGCACCGUUUCUGCACCUGGAUCCGUCUCCACCACCCUACACCCGCGAAGAAUAAAAAGGCUGAUGUUGUUGGUUUGCACGGUAAAAAAAAAAAAAAUAGAAAGGAUCUUGCUGCUGCUGUUGUUUGUUCGCACAGAAAAGGAAAAAAAAUUGGAUUUUUUAUUCUUUGUUUGUUUGUUCGGAAGUUGGAAUUUCCACUGGCAUUGGAAUCUUGCACUAGCAUGAAAAUCUUGCAUUGGCAUUGAAAUCUUGCACUUGCACCGGUGAAAUUUCAUAUGGGUAUUGGCAUCGGCAUUGACACUAGCAUUGGAAUUUGGAGUUUUGCAUCCACAUCUACUUUGGCAAACCCAUGUCGUGAACCGCCAUGAGUUUGACGGGGGGGUGUUGGAAAAUAUUAUUAUUUAGUUUAUUUUAAUGUUUGGUAUUUUGGGCUUAGCCCGUUAGAAUUAGGUUUUGUUAGAGAUUAGGUUUAGUUUAUUAUAAAUAGGUUGCUUUGUUAUUCAUUAGAAAAUAAUUCAUUCACAAUGUAGUCUCUAGGGUUUUUGUAGUCGUCUCGGCAUUCUCAAUUCGUUCUUUUAAUAAUAUUCAUAUUAUUUGUUAGUCUUGUUCGUUGCGCACUCUGAUAUUCAACUUUCGUCGUCGCUCAGGCUGAUGACCCAUUGGUGUCGGGUACGGUUUAGUUUUGUUUCUUUUUUCGCGGAUUUAAUUUGAUGUAUUGUAUUAUUUAUCUGAUGACGAUGCUCCACUAGCUUCGAAUUUUGUGCGGCACUGAAACACCCCAACCCCAUUUUAUUUAAAAAUUGUUUUAAGGUCUUAAUUGGUGAGCCCGUAGGGCCCACCUUAUAAUUUUUUUUGUUUUCCCCCAGUCUCUCUCUUCCUUCUUCGUCUCUCUCCCCCGUAACUCUCCCUUAGCUCUCUCCCUCUCAGCUAUCCCGUACCUCUCUCCCUCAACCUCUCACAUCUCUCUCUUCCCCUGGACUCACUAGGACCGAGUCACCAUCGAAGAGAGGCUCGCAACGAACCAGGGAUCCCUGCACUGCGGCUCGACGGCACGGAGCAAAGCUCCGGCGAGUUUUCCCCAUUUUUCCGUCGGGUAGGUCUCAAAUCUCUCACUCUCGUACCUAGUUCUUGGUUUGGUUGUGAUUUAGAAGCUUGAACCUUACCUUUUUACGUAGGUUUUUGCUUCGGAACGGUCGUGGGUGCAACACCCACUUUUUCCGGUGAACCCGUGCACCCCGAGGACUUUCCCGGUCACCUCCGACCGAGUUACGAUGUUAGGAAGGUAUAAAUCUCUUCCUCUCUCCUUGUGCUUCACGUUCGUACCUAGAUCGGAGCUUGAAGCUCCAGUUUUCAGGUGACCGGAGCUGUAGCAGCUCCGGCCUUCUCUCUCGGCAAGCCACAGGCCAAACCGGCCUUUCCCAUUUUCCUUUCCCACGGGCCUCCAGCCCGUUUUGCCUUAGCCCAGUACCCUAACCCAUUCCAUUUUUAUUUUUAGUUAUUUAAAUUUUUUAAAGCCCAAAGGGCUCGGGCCCUAGCUUUUGUUUUGGCCUUGGGCCGGUUUUUAAUCAAGGGCUUAAAGCCCUGUUUUCUGUAGUGAGGCCUGAGGGCCUUGUGCCCGUGUGUGUGUGUGGCUAAGUUUAUAUGUUUGGGCUUAAUGCCCAAACCCCUUUCCAUCCCCUUUUAAUUCUAGAGCCCUAGGUUCCCAAAACCCAUUAAAAACCCUAAACCCAUCCAAUCCCAAAUCCCUUAUUUAAAUUAAUUCAAAACCAAUCUUUUAGAAAAAUCAUUUUAUUAAUUAUACAUUCUUGUUCUUAGGUAAAAUUGCUAGUGGAGAAAUUCUAAAUCCUUAUUCCCGCAACUCUUCUGCUAAGGAAUAUUUGUGAGUGGACCCCUUCUAAAAUUACAUGAUUUUAUAGUUAAUUGCAUAAAUGAUUAGCAUGCCUACGAAUUUAUGAAGUGAUUUAGGUGAAGCCUGUUGAUUAAAUAUAUAUUGAUUAUCGUCUCGUGUUUUGGUGAGGAAUUAAUUGUUAGCCUAUACUGAGCUAUAUUUCAAUAUAUCGUAUUUUCUAUAAAAACCAUGAACUGGUAGACUAUCUGACAGAUGACGAUAGGAUGCUAGAACAUGUUUUUGAACCCCUCUUUAUAGCGUAGACGAUAUUCGGUAACCUAUGCUAUGAAGUGGUUAUUUAAGAGAGACGUAACUAUUUGUGCGUACCUAGUGGACACUAUGCCGCCUGGGGCGAGGAUCUGGUGUUGGCAUGUAGGCCGGGAGAAAUAAUCCCUAACGAAAGGCUGAGGGACACGGAGACAGGCAUUGGGCCGGGAGGGAGUUAUCUCUGGCUACGGGCACAGAGACUGAGGUGCAGGCAUUGGGCCGGGAGUUAUAUUUAUUCAGUGAUCUUUCUAGUAGCACACCGCGUUUACGAGACGUUUACUGUUUUGAUUUUCCGCGAUGUUAUUCCGCGAUAUGGCUUUUUGAGAUACUUUGGUAUGCUAGGAUUUCUUAUUAAAUCCAUCACUUACUAUGCUAGUAGUUUUCACUAUUAAACUUUGGGGGUUAGUAUGUUGAUAAUUGUUUUAUUAUUAUUAUAUAUAUAUAAACUUGGUCCACUCACCUUUGUUUUGCGCCCCCAUUCAGGACUUAGAAUCAAGGCACCUAAUCCCGGCGUGGAGACACUUCCGCAGCAGCAUCUUCGGAUCCUCUCGAUGUAGGACCCACUCCUUUAUUCGUUAAAUUUUAUCUUAAUUCCUUUUAGUGAUUAGGUUUAAUUGUAUGCUCUGAGCACGUUCCUAAAUUAUAAAUUCUUGGUAUUUUAAAUUCAUAACCCUUAUUUAUUUCUUAUUCUUAGCUUUUGUAUCAAUUAAUGGCUUUCGUCACCCUCGGGUGUCGGCCAACACGUGUCUAUCCUGGUAUUCGGGGAAUAUCAGGGUCGGGGCGUGUCAGGCACGUUAGGCCAUCUCUAACCGAAGGGUCCAGAGGGCUAGAGGGUCGAAAAUAGCCCUAAAACCGUCUCCAACCGAGGGCUAGGCCAGAGGGCUCGGGAAUAUGGGAGGGCCCCAUGGAAUUUCAAAGGGCCAAAGGGCCAAAAGGCUGGCUGCUUUCGACCAGCCAGCCAGCCCCGGGCUGGCUAUUUUUUUUUUUAUAGUUUUCCUAUUGUUGUUGGUUAUAACCGACAUCAUUAAAUAAUGAUUUUUAAUACUGUCGGUUAUAGGCAAAAUUUUUUAUUUAUUUACUAUUAGUGUCGGUUAUAAUCGACACUAAUAGUUUGAAAUUUUUUUGAAUAUAACAGCUAGCUGAGUCAGCUAGCCGUUGGGUUUUUAUUUUUUAAUUUAAACAUUUCUUUUCUUCCAUCCCAUCCACAUAAUUAAACUUCAUACACCAACCAACAUUGAAUAACUCUUGAACAAUAAUAAUUAUAUGAUUCAAUGUUCAUUCAACGAAGAGUAACACUAAAUACACAUUAGUGGAUCUAUAAUUUUAAUAUUGGGUGGUCUUAAUUAAGGUAUGUUUUACGCUAGUUUAACAGCUGGUUGGAACUUAACACUUAUACACCUAGAUAAGACCUACGCUUUAUUAAUUAAAAUGUUAGGUGGAACAACCUCAUUGAAUAACAAUUAAAAAAAAUGUUAGGUGAGACCUAUGCUUUUUCAUAUAACUUCUAUUUUUUUCUAUAACUUCUAUUUCACAAAAUUUGUUUCAUAUUUUUUUUUAAUUCUAUUUUUUUUCCUAUAACUUCCUAAACCAUUGGAUUUGAAUUUAAGUUAUAGUUUUUAAAUAAUAACUUAUGUUUGGCCCUAUAGCUCUCUGUUGGAGACAGUUUUUUGUGAAAUGGCUAAAACGAGUCAUCUAGCCCUCGGUUGGAGAUGGAGACAAAUAUGGUCAUGUACUGUUCAUUAAAAUAUUAAUAUCUUGGAGAAUUUUGGAGGGGCAGAGGGCUAAAACAAGCCUUCUGGCUAGCCAUCGGUUGGAGAUAGCCUUUGAUCAUCCAAGGGCUCUCAAUAGAGUUAGGGCGGCGGGAUCCGGAUCUGAGAUGGUUGAACACUCUAUAGCCAGUUAAUACUUUUGCCCACCAAUCCGCUCGGUUAUGUAAAUAACCUCUGGGUUGUGAUGGUUCUUUAUCUCUCUUAGUUGAGAUUCUUUGAAUUUUUUGUUCACAUUUUAUGCAAUUGAUCGCUGGGCAUUUGAAGACGAACAUGGAGGAAAAAUUGGAUAAUUAUCCUCCUAAACUGAGCAGUUAUUAUAAUUAUAACACGUUAAAAAAAAUUGGAGCUCAAAUUUGAAAUUGCAAUUGGUUUUUUUCCUUUCCUGCAAAAACUAAAUCGUCUUCACUCUCAGGUAUGUUACUUUGAUGUUUGAUUUAUUUUUAAUUUCCCUUUUUAUCGUUAACUCUAGAUUUGAUCAAAUAUAUAGGCUGAUUGGUGAAUCCCCAGUGAUCGAUGCGUUUUCAAUAUAUGAGUUGGUGGUUUCAUUCUUUUGGGUAACUUCGUUAAGUCUUUUUUCCUCCUGUCCAUGAAUUCAUUUUAAUUAAUUUUUUAGAAAUGUUCAUUUUUGGUUUCUAGGAAAUUAAGGCUCUGUUUGGUAUUCUACUUGAAUCCAAUUUUUUUAACUCAAAAAUAAUUUUCAAGUUUUAGGCCUUAAAAACUUGUUUGGUAUGACUAUUUUUAAAAAUUGAACUCAAGACUAACUCAAAAAUAUUGUCUAUUAUCUAAAAACAUAAAAAGUGAGUUUUUAGAGUUUUUAAAUUUAAAUUCACUCAUUUCUUUUCUCUCCCUCCUCCCCUCACUACAAAUCUAUCUCUCUUUUGUUCUUUCUCUCCUCUUUUUUAUUUUACCUUUGUCGUCUCUUCUCCAAUCUGAUGUCUUCAUUCUCUCGAUUCUUUCUCUCACUCCUCUUUCUCUCUAUCUCGUCCGAUCCUCUCUCUUCUUUCCCUUUCCUUUAAUCAUCUCUUACUUUUUUUUCCCAUCUUUCCUCUUUCUCCCUCUCCUACGACUCUCUCUUUUUAGAUAUCUUUGUCUAUUUUAAAGCACAAACCAAUCAAGUUUUUUAGUCUUAAAGAAAAUUAUUUUCAAGAAAUAUUUUGAGAAAUGAUAAAAAAAUUUAAAUAGGAUACCAAACAUACACUAAAAGUUUGAACCUUUUUUAUCUGCUUCUAUUUCCUGCGCGCAUACUUUUUUUAUAGACAAUUGGUGGACGAUGUUUUGAUGGGAGGGCGGCUGUCACGUAGGACGACGAUCUAUGCUUUGUUUUAUGGGCAUGCCCAUUUUCUUAACAUGUGUCUCAUAUUUCCCAUUCUGUUUUUCCUAUUUUUCAAUUCACGCUUUUCUCUUUCUCACUCUUCGCCCGUAGAGCCGUCAGGUGUGUCGAAGUGGUUGGAUAUGUUUGAUGUGAAACAACUGGCGUGCUCUGAGAGGCUACGUGAAGGGUAUAUUUCUAUUUUCUUUUUCUUCCAUGUUUUAUUUAUUUAUUGGCGAUCAAAUGAUACUUUGUUCUUCUUCCAUUUUGGAAGAAAAAUGUUACAAUUGCUCUAUUCUGUAAUGGUUUCAAGGCUCUACAAAAAGGUCGUACCCAGUGCACAAGACUUCCGCUUUACGCAGGGUCUGGGAGAGGUGAAUGUCGGCUAGCCUUACCCCAAUUUAUGAAGAUGUCCUUAAUUGUUUAUGUCAUCUUUAGUUUAUCUUAAUAAUGUAAUCUACGAUCAAACCUAUAUGUAGUAUGAACACUAUAUCAGAGAAGGGAUUUUUAUUUUCGUACUUUGUAUUCAGAGGAAACAAAGAAGAACCAUGGGAAGACAUCUACAGUCGGUCCAAGAACAGUGAUUAUAGAAUUUGGGUUCAACUCCUUCUUAUUUCCUGUAAUCAGUUCAACUUCUUAUUUCCUUAUAUUCAGUUGGAUUUCCUCUUCGUUGGGGUUGAUUAUAGAAUUUGGGUUUGUCAUUUGGUGUUUUAAGUAUUCGUAAGAGUGUUUGCUUAUUUUUUAGGGUGAUAUCCUUAUCGCGUUGCCCUUUACAUGGACCAAAAUAAAGAAAGAGACUUGGAACCCUUACUUUCUGUAAGUUCUUUUAGGAAGGGGGAAAAGUACGGGUGGCACUACUUCUCCUUUUAUUUGAAUAGGAGUGAGGAGACAAGAAUGUAUAUACACUACAAGAAAAAAAAAGUCUAAGAACACAAUUCAUUGGUGCCCUUUUCAAUUUCAUUGAGCACAGAUAUGUAUUUGUGCUUUUAUGUUUCAUUGAGCACAAAAUUAUCUCGAAUUGAUAAAGUAAACAUGUUCUUUAUCUGAGUAUGCUUUGUCUAUUUUUGUUACUUCAUGUUUCGAUCACUUCUUUGCAUAAAUAAGAUGCCGUGCAAGCAAGUAAAGCUUUCUGGGUUUUACAUGUCUACUGAUUUUGAAGCUGGAGUGUCAAACCAUGAAAAUGGUUGUCAGAUUGCGGUUUAAGAGUUGCUUGACUAUUAAAUAUUUUACGUUGUUUAAAAUAUUGUUCAACGAAGAGUUGCUUGGCUAUUAAUUAGUGUAAGAUUCAGAGGAAUGUAGUUUAUCAUACUCAAGAGUGCAGGUAGUAUUCUGUGAUUUGGCAUAAUUUUGUAUGUAAUUGAUUCUUCUUCUCUAAUUCCCCUAUUUCCUUUUGUUCUGUAUAUAAUGGAUCGUCUUAAAUUUACAGGUUCAUGGCUCAUUCAGGCUUCAAAUGAUUUGAUUACUUUCUUUUUAGGAAUAUGAACUGGAACAACUUCGAAGUUCGGGUGUAAUUAUUUGUCUUAUCAAGUAAUUAACUGUAUCUUAUCUGUUUGUUUUUCAUGCAUGGGAUUGUAUUUUUGAUUGGAAGGUUAUAAAAAUGAACACCUUUUACAGUGCUCCAAAAUACGAUAGAUAUACAUGUUUUGCACAAAUUAAAACAAGAUUAUUACUACAUUAUGUAUUCAAUUUUAAUUAAGGUACAAUAUCUAUACCAAAUAAAAUAGGGUUGGCAUAUACACAUUAAGAGAACAACCUCCAUUUGCACUUUUAAUAGAAAAAGGCUCGGGUAUGAUUGUAAAAACAAAAACAAAAUUGUUAACCCAUUUUUCUUAGAAUAAAAACAUGAUUAGGCGAUCUACUAAUAAAGAGAUUGGAAACUAAUGUAAUAAACUUUCAUCUUCUAUAGGAAAAUACAAACAAGUUAAGCAUGACCAAUUAAGAAAACACCAUUUGCAAAUACAUAAAAUUCGUCAAUCAGCUCUCAACGAGUAAGAAUGUCGAUAGACAAAUGAACACCUAAUGCCUCCUAAAAAAGGCUGUUUUAAUCCUCUCACACGCAAGUGUUGUUUCACUAUUGCAUGAAAACAACCAACACAAUAUAUAAUUAAAACCGCGUAGUGCCGGUAAUUAAAAAAAUGCCUCUUGCGUGACCAUGAUAAAAGAGACCAUGAUUUAGUAAUGGCACCAUCACAUUACAAGUAGACUUUAUGUUUUUGUAUGUACAUAUUGUGCAUCGUUUUGUUUUGAAUCAAUGUAUCAAAACAUUCCAUCAUUUGAUCAUGAUAUAUAGCUUGAAAAAUGUGACAUACGCCAUACAAUUAAACAUUAAUGCCAUUUUAGUUUACAUAGUUAUCAAACAAAUUUCUUGCGCCCUUAAAGAUGUCGUGCAUUAGUUGUUUUCAAUUUGUUUAGUGAGCCAUUUUGACAAUUACAAUGAAAAAAACUAAUGCAAGACAUAUAUAGGGGCGCGUAGUGCACGUGAUUGAAAAAAGGUCUCUCGCAAGUGCGUGUGGAUAGGAUAAUCUAUAUAUAAAUAUAUAGUUUUGUGAGAUAUUAAAUUCUUCUUAUCUCAUUUUUAAAUUUCUUAGAUAUUUUUUUAAAAUAUAAUUUUGUUAGAUUAAUAUUUUCUGCGAAAAUGGAAGAGGAGUGGGGUUGGUCACGUCUUUUUUUCUUCUUCAUUUUUUCAAUAAAAACAAUUUUAAGUUUCUGUUUUUUGUUACAAUACUAUGACUGCGUUUUAUUUUGUAUUUUCUUAUUUUUAUUUCUGUGAGAUAUUAAACGCUCUCACUCUCCUAAAAUGGAGGAAGAGUGGCGUUGGUUGAUUGGGUUAAAUUCUUUUUAUCUCAUUUUUGUUAUAAGAAAAUAAAUCAAGGAUUUCCGCACGUCCCCUUUUUUAUCUCUUUAUUUUUCGUAAUAAAACGAAUUAUAAAUUUUUUCUUUCUGAUAAAAUUACACUCUGUUUGUACCAUACUUGACCAAUCCCGAAACUACUGAGCACCGGUCAACGUUAUACCGUCAAGGACCUAGAAGAGCUUCCCUUCAACCAGGAGGCCAAUCACAAAGCGACACGUGUCGUCAUCAGAAGCCAAUCACAGCUCGACACGUGUCAACAUCAGAAGCCAAUCACAACACGACACGUGUCGAUGUUAGAACAAAACUAGAAACUCUCCUCUAUAAAUAGGGAUCAUUCUCCCACAAUAAUCUCGAAUGUCAUUUUUGUACUAAACUAUUCACUAGAACUCACUAAACCAGAGCUUGAACCUAUGUAUUUGUGUAAACCCUUCACAAUUAAUGAGAACUCCUCUACUCCGUGGACGUAGCCAAUCUGGGUGAACCACGUACAUCCUGUGUUUGCUUCCCUGUCCUUAUUCAUUUAUGUACUUAUCUUCACUAGUGACCGAAGCAACCAAGCGAAGGUCACAAACCUGACACUUUCUGUUGUACCAAAGUCCUUGCUGAUUUUGUGCAUCAACAUUUGGCGCCGUCUGUGGGAAACGACACUUAUUCCCACUCUCUUCAGCUUUGUCAAGCUGGUUUCCACCGCUCAUACACUCUCUUUUGGCCAAGCAUCUCUCUCCGAUAUGGGGAGCGAAAGAAGCCACAGCACACAUAAUGACACCCCCGCUGGACCUAGUAUGAAGCAACGAAAGCAGGAAGGAAAUAAAGUUACUCUUCAAGCUAAAGUCGAUGAGCUAGAGGUUCAGAACAACAAGAUAGCGAUGAAGAAUGAAGUCCUCCAGGAACAAUAUGAAAAACUUUUCGAGAUGCUUCACGAGGCUAGGCAGGCUCAAACACAUAAGCUCGUCGCCCCUGUUGAGGUUAACAAUCAACUGAAUGCCCCCCAACACAGAGGGUCGCCGAUAUCCGACACGGACAUCCCUGAUAGGGAUCGAGCUACACAUCAAUGUGAUAAUCAACAUGAGACUUCUCUCAACCCAGUUGCUUCAACCCGAAGCAGGAGAAGUAGAGGAAAACACCUCCUCACAGAGGGAGUGGAAGGAUCAAAAGCUGUCUAUCGCGAUUGUCGAGACUUCCUAAAACAACGUCGAGAGAAUCCCAUCCACAUAAGCUCGAAGAUCAAUGACCCAAGGGUUUCUGAAAGACUCGGUCCUCUUCCACGACCCAGGCCAGCCGCCAAUCUAGGGAAUGGGCAACAAGUCCCAGAAGAAUAUGAAGGUACUGGGGACUCGAAAACAUUCCGACAUACUCACUCUAGAAGUCAGUGUGGCGAGUCCAAAGAAAGAUCACGCUAUCUUGAUCAAACUUUCUUACUUCCAAGAGGCGAUGGAGACUUAAAGAAGAAAACUUCGGUGGUGCACGACUCCGCUCAGGACCCCCUUGUCCUGCAGCUCCUUAAGGAAGUAAACAAGCUGAAGGCUGAACGUCAAGCCGAGAUACCUGACUGGAACCAACCCAAGCCUGGCCCUCUCACAAGAAGGAUCCUCAAUACUCCCCUCUAAGCGAAGACAAAGCAGAAGCUUGACUUACAGCUCUAUACUGGAAAGGAAGACCCGAUUGAACACCUUAACCUCUUUGAGUCCACCAUGGUAUACCGGGGACACACCGACGAAGAACGGUGCCUUCUCUUCCCCUCCACCCUCUCUGGCGGAGCUUUAAACUGGUAUUGUCGUCUUCCACCUGAGACAGUAGACUCAUUUGAAGAGUUGAGGAAGCUGUUUAUCUCUCAACACAUCUUCCAAACCGAUCGCUUGCAUUCCGCAGAUGACUUGUACACUAUUCGCCAGAAGCCGGACGAGUCAUUACGAAAGUACGCUGGCCGCUUCAGCCAUGAGUAUUCUCGCUGCGCUGAGGCAGAUGACAAGACCGCCCUCAAGGCUUUCACGGCAGGCUUACGUGACUGUUUCUUCAAGUACAUGAUCAAUGCCAACACUUGGAAGACUUACUCUGAGGUGAUGACACAAGCUUACAACCAUGCCUCCGCCGAGGCAAGGACAUAUCAAGGGAAACCCCCUACAGUCACCCCUUAUCAGCAAGUAGGGAGUGGAGGCCAGAUCCAACCGAAUGAAAAGACCUCAACCUUCCAAAUGGUAGCAGCACACCCCCCUGCCUUAUUUAAUGCUUCGCCAAGUCAGCAGACAUAUCAAUCUCAGGGCAAAAUGAAAGACUUCCAUCCUCACCAAUCUCAUUUUAAUAAAAAGAAUAAGGGGCACUAUCGCGAUAACUCAGGAUAUCGUCACAAUAAUGCCCGCCCCCAGGCAGUCAACGCAGUGGGCCAAUCACGUGUCAAGACAGGCCCUACCCCGAGGUAUGAGACAUACACCUCUUUGAAUGCUACAUGUGCUGCCAUCUACCCCAGUAUAGCUCACCUGAUACCAAAGCCAAAGCCAAAACAGCCAGAUUACAAGUCCACGAAGAACACGGGAAUGUUUUGCUGCUACCACGAGUAUAAUGGCCAUGAUAGUGAAAAGUGCAUUAUCCUCCGUGACCAUAUUGAAGCUCUGGCACGUGAAGGAAAAAUUGAUCAGUUCCUCCUUCACCCUCCGAGGGAUAACCGUAACCAACGCCAGGUGAAUGUGAUAUAUUCCGUAAGCGGCGGCACACCCAUGUCUGAAUCUUCCAAUAGGGCCAUGAAAAGAAGUGAACGAACUUUGAGACCUGGCCAUCAAGUGUUUCACGUGGAAGACAUCAGAGGAGGCAAGUAUCAAAAGCCUAACUGGGAUCCAAUAUGUUUCUACCUGAGGAAGAAAGAGGUAUCAUCUACCCUCACAAUGACCCGCUGAUCGUGGAAGCUCACAUAGCAAAUUUUGAUGUGAAACGAAUCCUGAUAGACACAGGUGCUUCAGUCAAUAUCAUGUUUGCUGAAGCUUUCAAGGCACUUAAUGUAGCGGAACACUUGCUCGAUCGCUCGAUUUCUCCUUUGAUAAGCUUCUCUGGCGAUAUCGUGCAACCUUUAGGGAGUAUACACUUACCCUUCACCAUUGGUACAGGCCCCUACACAGCUACUAUUACCACUAACUUCUUAGUGGUCAACUGCCCAACGGCAUACAAUGUCAUUUUUGGGCGCACAGGCAUAAAUGAUCUCAAGGCCAUGGUAUCCACACAUAUGUUGUUGAUGAAGUUUCCAACCCCUUUCGGCAAUGGGUACAUCAGGGGAGAUCAACUUAGUGCUCGAUCAUGUUACAACACUUCAGUCAAACAACAACACCUGUCUGUCCCCAAUGAGACUCUCUCUAUACAUAACCAAGUCGUAAAGACCAGUCCAGAUGAAUCCAACUCGGGUCUUCAGGAUGGCAACAGUCAACCCGACGACCCUCGAGAUGACUCAUUCACCCAGCAAGCACAACCCGCUGAAGAGUUAGAGAAAGUCUCUAUCUCCAAAGACCAUCCAGACCGCAUGGUGAAGAUUGGCACUACUUUGUCACCACCCCUUCGGUUGUCACUGAUCUCCUUUUUGCAAGAGAACGCUGAGGUUUUCGCUUGGUCAUAUAAAGAUAUGCCGGGCAUCUCUCCCGAUAUCAUUUGUCACCACUUGAGUAUUGAUCCCAAGACCAAACCAGUAAAACAGAAGCGAAGAUCUUAUGAUGUUGAGCGAUACGAGGCGAUGAAAGCAGAAGUUGAAAAACUCAAGGACAUAGGCUUCGUCCGUGAAGUCAAUUACCCAACAUGGGUAGCAAAUGUUGUCCUUGUUAAGAAAAAUCCGACCAAGGAAAGUCUCCUGCUUCAAAAGGUCUUGUGGAGAAUGUGUGUCGACUACACCGACCUAAACAAAAGAUGCCCGAAGGAUAGUUUCCUCCUUCCUCUCAUUGAUAGACUUAUAGACUCUACGGCAGGGUGUGAGCUCUUGAGCUUCAUGGACGCUUAUUCAGGAUACAACCAAAUCCUCAUGAACCCCUCAGACCAAGAACACACAGCCUUCACUACUGACAUGGGACUAUAUUGCUACAAAGUCAUGCCUUUCGGCCUAAAGAAUGCAGGAGCAACUUAUCAGAGACUAGUCAAUUCAAUGUUCGCUGAACAGAUUGGGAAGAGCAUGGAAGUUUACGUUGAUGAUAUGUUAGUCAAGAGCAAACAUGCUGACCAACACAUCAUCAACCUAUCUGAAACUUUCACCAUUCUAAAGAGGUAUCGAAUGAGGUUGAACCCCAACAAAUGUGCCUUCGGCGUGGGCUCUGGAAAAUUCUUAGGCUUCAUGAUUAGCCAACGAGGCAUUGAAGCUAACCCCGAAAAGAUCAAAGAAAUCCUCGACAUGAAAGAGCCAGUAACUUCAAAAGACAUCCAAAGCCUUACUGGCAAGGUGGCAGCCUUAACCAGAUUCAUCUCUAAGGCCACAGACAGAUGUGCUCCUUUCUUCAAAGCACUCAAGGGAAAUAAGAAGUACAUUACAUGGACGGAGGAAUGUGCCAAGGCAUUCAGGAACCUCAAGGAGUACAUGAGUAAAGCCCCUCUGCUCUCCAAACCAGAAGUUGGUGACACUCUCAUUAUCUAUCUAUCGGUUUCGGCUUCAGCAGUUAGUUCUGUUCUUAUUUGAAAGGACAGUGGGGUCGAAAGGCCCGUCUACUACGCUAGCAAGGCCCUACAAGAUGCGGAGACACGAUACUCCAACAUUGAGAAAUUAGCUUUAGCAUUGGUCAUGUCUGCUCGAAAACUUCGCCCCUAUUUCCAAGCACACGCCAUUAUCGUGCUUACCAAUCACCCUCUUCGACAGAUACUCCAGAGUCCUGACACGUCUGGGCGAAUGAUCAAAUGGGCAAUAUCAUUGGGUGAGUUUGACAUCUCCUACCAACCAAAACCAGCCGAAAAAGGUCAGGCUGUAGCAGAUUUCAUAGCCGACUUCACAUAUCCUGUUGACAUUGCUUCUACACCUGAAGCAAUAGCUUCAUUACCAUCGGAAGCUCAGAAGAUAGAAUCAACAACCCCAACAUGGAGUCUGUAUGUUGAUGGCUCAUCCAACCAACAGGGCUGCGGAGCAGGAUUAGUCCUUACUACCCCCGACAAAGUGGCGAUGGAAUACGCUCUUCGUUUCAAAUUCAAGGCAUCGAACAAUGAGGCCGAAUACGAAGCCCUUCUAGCAGGCUUACGUUUGGCCAAGCACCUCGGGGUUAAACGAAUUGAUAUCUUCAGUGACUCCCAAUUAGUGGUCAACCAAGUCACGAAUAACUUUGAUGCUAAGGAUAGCUCCAUGGCAACAUAUCUUGCGCAAAUGCGACUUUUGCUCAAGCACUUCCACUACCAGAUCACCCAAGUUCCUCGAACGGCAAACAGUCAUGCAGACGCUUUGGCUCGCCUCGCCUCGGCAGUGGAAGACAAGAUUGGGAGAAAAAUUCAUGUCGAAUUGUUGGCAGCACCAAGCACCAUGGUCAUGGAAGUGUGCAAUUUACAACAAGGAGAUAGUUGGAUCACCCCAAUUUAUAAAUUCCUUGCUCAUGGCAGCCUCCCAAUUGACAAAGUCCAAGCUAAGCAGAUUCGAUACAAGUCUGCCCGAUACCUGAUCAUUAAUGACCAACUCUACAAGCGCGGUUUUACCCUGCCAUACCUAAGAUGCCUUACACCUGCGGAGGCGGAAAUUGUCCUUCGGGAAAUACAUGAAGGAGUCUGCGGAGAUCAUGCUGGGUCUCGAUCCCUAGCACACAAGACUUUUCGCCAAGGAUACUAUUGGCCAACACUCCACCAGGAUGCCAUCAGAAUAUCACGCUCAUGUGAUAAGUGUCAACGCUACGCAACUAUCCCUCACUCCCCUCCCGAGCCGCUCACUCCUAUGAUCAGCCCUUGGCCCUUUGCCCAAUGGGGACUUGAUUUGAUCGGCCCAAUGUCUGCAGGGAAAGGCAAGGUCCGCUAUGCAAUCGUUGCAGUUGACUACUUCACAAAGUGGGCUGAAGUAGAACCCUUGGCAACCAUUACUGAGGGAAAAAUAGAAGACUUCGUAUGGAAGCACAUCCUCUGCAGAUUCGGCAUUCCCAAUGCGAUAGUCACGGACAAUGGGCGGCAGUUCGACAACAAGAAGUUCAAGAUAUUCUGCUCUAAGUUCAACAUCAACUUAUGUUUUGCCUCUCCAGCCCAUCCCCAGUCUAACGGACAAGUCGAGGCUGUUAACAAAAUAAUCAAGCGCACUCUGAAAACUAGCUUGGACAAAGCUAAAGGUUGUUGGCCAGAAUUCGUACCCCAAGUUCUUUGGUCAUAUCGCACUUCAUAUCGGACUUCCACAGGAGAAACUCCAUUCUCACUUGCUUUUGGUACAGAAGCAGUUGUCCCGGUUGAGCUUGAGCAAGCAACAUACCGAAUCCAGAACUACAUACAGAGUGAGAACGACAAGCAACUCACCCUCAACCUGGAUCUAGUCGAGGAACACAGAAAUCAGGCUCACCUGAGGAAUGUCGCCUAUAAGCAGCGCAUCUCCAACUACUACGACUCAAAGGUCAAACCUCGCUCUUUUAAAGUGGGAGACUGGGUACUGAAGAAAAGAUUACUCUGUGAUAGAGUCCCGAGUGAAGGAACACUCAGUCCUAACUGGGACGGACCGUUCGAGGUCGUCGGCAUCAGCCGCCCUGGCUCCUACAAGCUCAGAAGCUCCGACGGCAAGACCCUUGGCCAUCCAUGGAAUGCUGACCACUUGAAGUACUAUUACAAAUAGACUCACAUUGUACAAGUGUUAAGCUACAGCCGUUCGGCAUCCUAUGUAACAAAGACCAUUUGGUAUGAAUUCAAUAAAGAGGUGAUUUAGCCAACUCGACCCUAAACUCUUUUACAUUCUGGGCAAUGAAACACUCAAGUAUUGAAGCUUCAACGCACAUGUUUCCAAUACAGAAUAAAAUCUAAGUAUAUGUCAACAAGACUAUACAAAUGAUCUAUGCAAACAUAGUCAAACAUUCAUCAAUGAUAGGGCAAACACUUGAAGCUUGAUAAUACAAACACUUGCUUGAUAAUGCAAAUACUCAUAAACAUACAAAGCAAAACAAAAAAAAAACCCUCGAGUUUAUAACAUGGCACAUGCCAUACAAACAAUAAACUAGUGCAGGCAGAGUACAUGCAGAAAGUGAAAGCACUUCUAGUCCUCCUCCUCUGAAGUGAACCCCUGAUCAUAUCACUCUGAGACCUACCGCCAUUUUCUGCAUCUCCAACCUCAUCAUCACCCUGAUGACUCUGCUCAUCAGCACUAGCAUCAUCGCCCGACUCAUCUGCACUGCUCGAAUAAACUGCAAGGUCGAAGGUUUCACCUUUUCGAUGAUGCUCAUCUAUUUCUUCACGGUAUUUUCGAAGAACACUUCCAUCAUCAUAACGAUCAAGGACAGCCAUCCACUUUCCUUUUUUCAAAGUGCACUUCCCGGGCACAGCGAGGUCUAAGGACAUGGGAGAAAGGCCUGGGAAACCCAAGAACUCAUUCAACAGCAGCUUCCUUCUCAGCCGGGAUACCACUCUUCAGCUCAGAAACCUCAACCAAGGCACUAUCCAACUCCCCUUUAACCUUGAAAACCUCGAGCAUAGUUGUCUCCAACUGUUUCUUAGUCGCUUCCAACUGUACCUUGAGUCUCAAGUUCUCACCAUUCCGCCUCUUCAAACUCUCAAAAUGUUGAUCCUUGACUUGGAUGGCCUUAGCUAAAGCUUUGCUCGUCUUCCUGGCAUCAUUCACAAGCUGCUUAUUCUCUUUCAAUUUCACCUUGCACCGUUCAGCCUCUCGCAGUCUGUCGUGAUACUCAGCCAUGACCUGCAUGACAAGACGAUCAUCACUACUAAAAUAAUGCUAAUAAAGAGGAGAAAACAAGGGAAUGACAAAGUAACACUCACAUAUGAAGAUAGCUUCAACAUCCGGUCGCAAUCCGAUUCAUCUUUAGCUAAGGGUUCUCCGAGCUCAUCGAAAGUGAAUCGACGCCCUGCCAGGCAAUUGUUGAUAUACCCAAAGUCCUUUGGCCGCAUGGCAACCUUCAAAUCCUUCCAAUGGACACUGCCAACCUCUUCCUUAUCUUUACCCUUGCUGCUAGAACUAGGAUCACCUUCCUGCUCAAUGUGUUCCCUAACUGGAGGAAAGAUGGGAUUAAUAGUAGGAAGAGGAGGCAGCAAUCGCCUAUCUUCCCCGGCAACUAUGGCAGCAGCACAUCCGAUGGCCUCAGCUUCAGCUUUCUUCGAGGCAGCAACCUUGAGGACUUCUUCUCGAGACUUAGUUUUAAUAAUUGGUCUCACUCGGUCCUUGCGCGCUUCCUUGUGAAACAGGAUGUCUUCUGAAGGAACUAACAUGGGCACUCUCCUUUUCUUGGUGCUAGUCUCCACUUUCUUGCCCACCUUCUCCACUGAACAAGGAAAAUCAAAGUAAGGAAUACCACAUUAUAUAUCUAUAAAAAAAAAAAGGGGAAGAACAAGGAUCAAGUGAGGAUACAACUUACUCGCUCGUCUCUAGCACUCGGAAACUAAGGGCUGGAAACCGUACUUUCGAAACAAGGGACGUAGCUUACCCAAGUAUCUAUCUUCUUUAGGCACCCUCAGCACUUUCUCUACAUCAGCUAGCUCCUAUCCAGAGAGUUUGAUGGUGCCUCGUGUCACUGCAUGAAGAAAAAUCUUAGAAGUAAGAGAAAAUCACAACAAUAGCAAAUAAUGAGAAAAUGGAUACAUUACAACCUACAGUCUGGAAGUGAGUAGGAACACGUCGCUCAGGCGUGACACCCUUAGCAUGCUCCCAAUCAUUAUAAAUAAAGCACCAACGUUUCUUCCAUGUGCAGUACGACUUUCUCUUAUUAAAGACAACACGCUCUCUCUCGCUCCGAUAUGCACAUUCAGCAUAACCAGUACAUGCUUUCACCGGGCGCAUCUUAUAACAGUAGCGCCACUGAUGGAAGGAAGGCUCACCUAAUCCACACUCCAUCCAAAUAAUAUAAAACCCAAUCAAGGUAUCCCAGAAACCAGGGUUGAGUUGCCCAGGUGCAUAACCAAUACAAGCCAGCAUUCGUUGCAACCACGGAUGCAAAGGUAAAUUUACCCCCAAGGUCACUAAUGUCUGGGUAUAGAACAUAACAUGACCCUUGGGCGGCUCCGAAGGCAAUUCUUCACAACGCACCAAAUGUAUUCCUACACUACGGGGGAUACUACAUGAUUGCCUUAGGGCCUCAAGCUGUUUUUCGCUAUCUAACAAGUUAUUUUCUAAAUGGUCCGCUGUGAACUCAGAGCGAAAUAUGGGUAUGGCAUCACAAACAACCCCCUCACCCACUCGUAUGGAGGAAGAACCAAUCUCAGCUAAGGUUUGACAAUUGUGAGGAUCAGAACGACAUAUGGGUAUGGCGUCACAAACAACCCCCACACCCACUAACAUGGAGGAAUAACCAAUAUUGGCUAAGGUUUGACAAUUGUGAGGAUCAUCCAACGUUUCUUUUGUACAAGACUCUAACAAAGGCCAUGAAGACCCCGACAUUGCAGGCUCAAACCUAGAGCCCGAGCUAGGGGAGCCCUCAUCACUAAGACUUCCAGACUCCGACAUCUACAACAAACAGAAACAAACUCUAUUACUACAUGAAGGAUCAAAACAUAAGGAAGCUCACAGGGGCAUGAAGAACAGCUCAACCAGUUUCAUUAUGUUCGUCACAAAAAUACAUGAACAUUCCAACAAUUCAACAAAAAGGAAAACAUCCAAUGUAGUGGAGAAGACUACCAACCUGAAGAUGGUGCAGCAAAGCAAUGCUAGAAUCCCUCUCAAGUAAAAAAGCACUUUGUCUUCAACAAUCACUACAAGAUGAGCAAAUGAAGGUAAGGUAAAGAAUGGAAACUUAUCCUUCUUAUAUAUAGUUCAACAUGGCUAUUAACAUUCAAAAUUCAAAUUCAAACCAUGAGAAAACCCCACAUGGAGAAUCUUCAAACUUCUAACAUUAAGGAGUUUCAAAUUUCAAAUGUUUCAGUUCCCCCCUCAAAAAAAAAAAAAAAAAAAAAAAAUCCGAAAAAAAAAAAAGGGAAGGGGGAACACAGCAGCUUCAUCAAUGGGAUUCAACUCCCAAUCUCAAAAGCUUCACACUAUGUUCAUCAAGAUAGUGCGAAGCACAAUCAAUUUAUGGUGCCAACAAAAGCUUCAUCAAUGGAGGACAAAUAUCAAUCUCAAAAGCUUCGCACUAUGUUCAUCAAGAUAGUGCAAAGCAUAAUCAAUUUAUGGUGCCAACAAAAGCUUCAUCAAUGGAGGAUAAAUAUCAAUCUCAAAAAGCUUCGCACUAUGUUCAUCAAGAUAAUGCGAAGCACAAUCAAUUUAUGGUGUCAACACCAAAAGCUUCACCUAUAAAGCUUCACCACCAAAGCUUCACCUAUAAAGCAUCAACCACCAAAGCUUCACUUAUAAAGCUUCAACCCCAAAGCUUCACUUAUAAAGCUUCAACACCAAAGCUUCACCUAUAAAGCUUCACCACCAAAGCUUCACCUAUAAAGCUUCGCCAACCAAAGCUUCACCUAUAAAGCUUCAACACAAAAGCUUCACCUAUAAAGCUUCAACACCAAAGCUUCACUAGUCAAGCUAUCUACCCAAGCACAAAUCUAUAGUCAAUAAACCCUUACCUAUUAAACUAUUUUCCAAACACAAAACCUUGUGGCAAAUAAACAAAUUUUGUUCACACAACCAAGAUUCUCUUGAACUUGUACAACAACACAUGAGUGCACACAAACUUUUUUGUUUUUACAUCCACAAUAUCCCUAUCAUAAACAGACAUACAAUUAUAUACAAUCUAACCCAAGCAACCUUUUUUCUCCCUCUCCCUCUUCCGCCUCUUUCCAUCUAUCAAAUUUCUGCAACUCCUGCUCUUCUUCAGUAGAGCUGAAUUUGGACAUCUUAUAGUUCUUGAGCAGAUGAACAACUUUCACGAAGGAAAUGUUUCCAUUUGAGCGACGGAAGUUAGAGUGAUGAAGCUCCAACAAAACGACGGUCAGAUUUCUGCAAGCUUCAACGCUGCUGCGGUGUUUCGAAGAUCUGGACAUAUCCAACCGUUAGUGUGUUCUGAAUUUUUGAUAUGUUAUGGAAGAGAUGAUGAGGAACAACUUUGUUGAAGAAAGUAUGUUGAUCGGAACACGAAAAAAUGAAGUUUCGAAGCUCACAAUAAGUCUGACGGAUUAACAGAAAAAUGAUGCACAGUUACUCAUCAUACCUGAAUAUCUGGAGUUGUAUUACUCCGAUGAAUCUCAACAUUGGAUAUGUUGUAGUUCACCAGCUAAGGAACAAUUUUGAUGAAGAAAGUAUGUUGAUCUGAACAAGAAAAAAUGAAGUUUCGAAGCUCACAAUAAGUCUGUGGGUUAACAGCAAAAUGAUGAACACUUACUCAACAUACCUGAAUAUCUGGAGUUGUACUACUCCGAUGGCUCUCAAAUUUGGAUAUGUUGUAGUUCACAAGCUAAGGAACAAUUUUCAUGAAGACAACCUUGCGAGUUAAGCUACAGAACAUAGUGUUAUAUUGCAGAGCUACCGCACCCUCUACGUUAACUCCUUCCUUCCCUUCCUUGGCUCCAACACCCACUUUCCUUCAUCAUGCCUUUGGACUCAUUCAGAUUUUUACGAGGACAUGAAGACCUUUCCAGCAAAGAAAGGAAAAGGAAAGUCAAAAGAAUAGCUAAAAGCCACCAAAAGUGACGGACAAAAGGAAUAAGUGCACAAUGCCAUAUUGAACAAAGUCCGGGGAAAUGGGGAAGAAGACACAGGCAAAGGGAUGAGACUUUGAGUCUCAUUGUUAUUAUUUAUCUACCUCCCAAUAUGCAGCAAGAAUACAUUGGGCUUCACAAAAACUAAAUAAAGGGGAGUGGGCACAAACCUGUUCUCCUCUUUGGGCUUGCCACACAAAUAACAAAUGAACAAAGGCACUGGAUCCCUUCUUUUUGUGGGCUUGCAAACAAAUGAGCAGUUUUGGGCUACACAAAAAUUUUGGGCCCUCCCAAAGCUAAACCUAGCUUGAAAUAUUUUGGAUAAGGCAUAUAUGAAGGUGUGACAUCAAAACAAGGCUUCGUUACUUUGACAUAUUAGUAGCAAGCAAGACACCUCAUUCGGCAACUCUCAUCGCCUGAAGACUUGGGGACUCCCACCAUAUGCUACUGCACCUUGAUACUCGGAAGUCUCAUAACCACUCAGUGACUUGGAUUUUUCAAGUCUCCAACCGAGAAGUUUUCCUCACUCAGGAAAUUAAGGGAAUACUACCUCAAACUACAUGCUUCACUCACAAAGCUUCAACAAUACAAGUUUCGACAAAAGAAAAAAUUCAGAGAACUUUCUGAAGAAGGCUUUGGUGUAUUUAACACAAUAUGUUGAAAUGGAGCAAAGCUUAUUUAUUAAUAUUUUCGAUAAAGCCACAAAUAUGUACAUAUACAUGAGUCAAAAUAAACAAACAAAAGGGAGCCUUCACAAAGGUUGCUUAAGGGAAGUCUCAGCAGUCGGUAGAGCCCCAGAAAGAGAAAGCACCGGAGGGUGGUUAUCCGGAGCCUCAGUACUUGACAAAACCCCAGAAGGAGGAGGCAUUGGAGGUUCAUCAUUUGAAGCUUCAUUACCAGGUACAGCCCCAGAAGACGAAGGCAAUAAAUGCCUUUGGAACAAACCCACAAACCGCUGUUGAUCAAGUAAAACCUUACCAUCAGAUUCCUUCAUCUGGUCAAGCUUCCUCUUCAUGUUUUGUAGCAUAGUCAUGGGCGAGCCGGUGCAACUGUUUAUUCUCAUGCUUGAGCCCUCUAAUCUCCUGUUUUGAGACUCAUCACUUCAGCAGCCAAUGAUUCAACUUGGCGGGUUCUAGCAAAUAGGCGUUGGGCCAUAUUAGACACAGAACCUGCACACUGAACACUAAGAGCCAGAGAGUCCUUAACAGCCAACUCAUCAGACCGUUUGGAAAGUAGUCUGUUAUCUUGGGAGUGAGAAGGUUCCUGGCCACCACUGCAGCGGUCAUAUCAUUCUUCAUCACAGAAUCCCAAACGGUAAGAGGACCAGUAGGGAUAUGAAGGAUGGGCGCCAUAUGUUGUCUGGAGAAGGCGUGGCUGUCUCUUCUCCAAGGUUCAAGUCAAAAACGACGGUCGGAGGGUCCAGACAUUUUCAAAUGUGUUGAAGAGGGAAGAGGUCAGACAAAAUCAAGAUCUUAGAAGUGUAAGAAUGGAGCUUCUACUGGUAGAGAUUCAAGUGUGCUGUGGAACUUAAUGCCAGCCUCUAUAAAAAUCUGCACUCGACGGAGCUUCAGAAAUCGAAGAGGCAUUUGCUUUCUCAAAAGCUGGGCUGCUCAGAGACCACGAGGGCCGAUCUCAGAAAUCGAAGAAGCACCUGCUUUUUCAGCCUCGUCAGCACUGUCACAUGCACACUCAGCUUGCGAAAAUUACGGGGCAAUCUGUCGAAGAUUUCUGGUGAAGUAGAAAGCACGUGAAUCUUACUGUUCAAUCACCGCUCUCCACAUGCACCAUCAACUCCUCGGGUACCACAUAUAACUUUGUCAAAGAUCUCUGACAAAGUUUAGGCACGAGAAUUUCGAAGUUCCAGUUACCCUACUAUUACCACAAGGGUAAAAGGAACAGCACCCACUGCUUGACAACUGGAAAGUCCAUAUGUGUGUCGACCUCCGUGUUUUUGCAGCAAGACAGGUUGGCAAGAACGUCCAACCUUUACUCACAUUCGAGAAAAGACUCCCAACAUAAUUACUUUCUCAAAAACUGAAGUAGCACCGCUUUCCGAAUCUCGAAAGUCAGAUCCUCGACGGGAUUGCUUGUUCGAAAACCGAAGAGGCACAACUCUCAGAACUUCGAGAGCUAGAUUUCCUUAGAUAAAGCUUGUCUGUAAUCUUUCACACGUAACAUCAGCUUUCCAGAUACCACAUACCACUUUUUCAAAGUGCUCUGACAAAGUUAAAAACACGUGAAGCUGGCAGCUCCCACUACAUUGCUAUUACCCCACAAGGGUAAAGGAAUUAGCACUACUACUUGUUAUGGGAAAUCCCUAUAUACAUCGACCUCCCUCCUCAACGGACAGGCAAACCUGCAAAAAUGCUCAACCCUUUCUCACAUUCGAGAAGGCACCCUCAACAUAACCUCUCGAAAUACUCAGCUUUAUUUCCCCCCGAUAAUACCUCAGCAAAUAAGCCCACACCAAGAACAAGAGUAUCUCAUAUCAUCAGGGUCGAAAGCAAGAGUAUCCCAUAAUCAUGCUUUCUCCCUGUCUUUGUCUUUUCCUUGUCCACACCUCAGGACAAGGAGAAGAGGGCAGUCAUCGGAACCUGAAAUCAAACUCCAAUCUGGAACUGACUGCCUGAGACCUUGCCUGGUUGCUACUCAACAUUGCUCUCGUACUCAUCUCAACUGCUGCAAGGUCACAAAUNNNNNNNNNNNNNNNNNNNNNNNNNNNNNNNNNNNNNNNNNNNNNNNNNNNNNNNNNNNNNNNNNNNNNNNNNNNNNNNNNNNNNNNNNNNNNNNNNNNNNNNNNNNNNNNNNNNNNNNNNNNNNNNNNNNNNNNNNNNNNNNNNNNNNNNNNNNNNNNNNNNNNNNNNNNNNNNNNNNNNNNNNNNNNNNNNNNNNNNNNNNNNNNNNNNNNNNNNNNNNNNNNNNNNNNNNNNNNNNNNNNNNNNNNNNNNNNNNNNNNNNNNNNNNNNNNNNNNNNNNNNNNNNNNNNNNNNNNNNNNNNNNNNNNNNNNNNNNNNNNNNNNNNNNNNNNNNNNNNNNNNNNNNNNNNNNNNNNNNNNNNNNNNNNNNNNNNNNNNNNNNNNNNNNNNNNNNNNNNNNNNNNNNNNNNNNNNNNNNNNNNNNNNNNNNNNNNNNNNNNNNNNNNNNNNNNNNNNNNNNNNNNNNNNNNNNNNNNNNNNNNNNNNNNNNNNNNNNNNNAAGACCCCGACAUUGCAGGCUCAAACUAGAGCCCGAGCUAGGGGAGCCUCAUCACUAAGACUUCAGACUCGACAUCUACAACAAACAGAAACAAACUCUAUUACUACAUGAAGGAUCAAAACAUAAGGAAGCUCACAGGGCAUGAAGAACAGCUCAACCAGUUCAUUAUGUUCGUCACAAAAUACAUGAACAUUCCAACAAUUCAACAAAAAGGAAAACAUCCAAUGUAGUGGAGAAGACUACCAACCUGAAGAUGGUGCAGCAAAGCAAUGCUAGAAUCCCUCUCAAGUAAAAAGCACUUUGUCUUCAACAAUCACUACAAGAUGAGCAAAUGAAGGUAAGGUAAAGAAUGGAAACUUAUCCUUCUUAUAUAUAGUUCAACAUGGCUAUUAACAUUCAAAAAUUUCAAAUUCAAACCAUGAGAAAACCCCACAUGGAGAAUCUUCAAACUUCUAACAUUAAGGAGUUUCAAAUUUCAAAUGUUUCAGUUCCCCCCUCAAAAAAAAAAAAAAAAAAAAAUCCGAAAAAAAAAAAAGGGAAGGGGGAACACAGCAGCUUCAUCAAUGGGAUUCAACUCCCAAUCUCAAAAGCUUCACACUAUGUUCAUCAAGAUAGUGCGAAGCACAAUCAAUUUAUGGUGCCAACAAAAGCUUCAUCAAUGGAGGACAAAUAUCAAUCUCAAAAGCUUCGCACUAUGUUCAUCAAGAUAGUGCAAAGCAUAAUCAAUUUAUGGUGCCAACAAAAGCUUCAUCAAUGGAGGAUAAAUAUCAAUCUCAAAAGCUUCGCACUAUGUUCAUCAAGAUAAUGCGAAGCACAAUCAAUUUAUGGUGUCAACACCAAAGCUUCACCUAUAAAGCUUCACCACCAAAGCUUCACCUAUAAAGCAUCACCACCAAAGCUUCACUUAUAAAGCUUCAACCCCAAAGCUUCACUUAUAAAGCUUCAACACCAAAGCUUCACCUAUAAAGCUUCACCACCAAAGCUUCACCUAUAAAGCUUCGCCAACCAAAGCUUCACCUAUAAAGCUUCAACACAAAAGCUUCACCUAUAAAGCUUCAACACCAAAGCUUCACUAGUCAAGCUAUCUACCCAAGCACAAAUCUAUAGUCAAUAAACCUUACCUAUUAAACUAUUUUCCAAACACAAAACCUUGUGGCAAAUAAACAAAUUUUGUUCACACAACCAAGAUUCUCUUGAACUUGUACAACAACACAUGAGUGCACACAAACUUUUUUGUUUUACAUCCACAAUAUCCCUAUCAUAAACAGACAUACAAUUAUAUACAAUCUAACCCAAGCAACCUUUUUUUCUCCCUCUCCCUCUUCCGCCUCUUUCCAUCUAUCAAAUUUCUGCAACUCCUGCUCUUCUUCAGUAGAGCUGAAUUUUGGACAUCUUAUAGUUCUUGAGCAGAUGAACAACUUUCACGAAGGAAAUGUUUCCAUUUGAGCGACGGAAGUUAGAGUGAUGAAGCUCCAACAAAACGACGGUCAGAUUUCUGCAAGCUUCAACGCUGCUGCGGUGUUUCGAAGAUCUGGACAUAUCCAACCGUUAGUGUGUUCUGAAUUUUUGAUAUGUUAUGGAAGAGAUGAUGAGGAACAACUUUGUUGAAGAAAGUAUGUUGAUCGGAACACGAAAAAAUGAAGUUUCGAAGCUCACAAUAAGUCUGACGGAUUAACAGAAAAAUGAUGCACAGUUACUCAUCAUACCUGAAUAUCUGGAGUUGUAUUACUCCGAUGAAUCUCAACAUUGGAUAUGUUGUAGUUCACCAGCUAAGGAACAAUUUUGAUGAAGAAAGUAUGUUGAUCUGAACAAGAAAAAAUGAAGUUUCGAAGCUCACAAUAAGUCUGUGGGUUAACAGCAAAAUGAUGAACACUUACUCAACAUACCUGAAUAUCUGGAGUUGUACUACUCCGAUGGCUCUCAAAUUUGGAUAUGUUGUAGUUCACAAGCUAAGGAACAAUUUUCAUGAAGACAACCUUGCGAGUUAAGCUACAGAACAUAGUGUUAUAUUGCAGAGCUACCGCACCCUCUACGUUAACUCCUUCCUUCCCUUCCUUGGCUCCAACACCCACUUUCCUUCAUCAUGCCUUUGGACUCAUUCAGAUUUUUACGAGGACAUGAAGACCUUUCCAGCAAAGAAAGGAAAAGGAAAGUCAAAAGAAUAGCUAAAAGCCACCAAAAGUGACGGACAAAAGGAAUAAGUGCACAAUGCCAUAUUGAACAAAGUCCGGGGAAAUGGGGAAGAAGACACAGGCAAAGGGAUGAGACUUGAGUCUCAUUGUUAUUAUUUAUCUACCUCCCAAUAUGCAGCAAGAAUACAUUGGGCUUCACAAAAACUAAAUAAAGGGGAGUGGCACAAACCUGUUCUCCUCUUUGGGCUUGCCACACAAAUAACAAAUGAACAAAGGCACUGGAUCCCUUCUUUUUUGUGGGCUUGCAAACAAAUGAGCAGUUUUUGGGCUACACAAAAAUUUUGGGCCCUCCCAAAGCUAAACCUAGCUUGAAAUAUUUUUGGAUAAGGCAUAUAUGAAGGUGUGACAUCAAAACAAGGCUUCGUUACUUUGACAUAUUAGUAGCAAGCAAGACACCUCAUUCGGCAACUCUCAUCGCCUGAAGACUUGGGGGACUCCCACCAUAUGCUACUGCACCUUGAUACUCGGAAGUCUCAUAACCACUCAGUGACUUGGAUUUUUCAAGUCUCCAACCGAGAAGUUUUCCUCACUCAGGAAAUUAAGGGAAUACUACCUCAAACUACAUGCUUCACUCACAAAGCUUCAACAAUACAAGUUUCGACAAAAGAAAAAAUUCAGAGAAAACUUUCUGAAGAAGGCUUUGGUGUAUUUAACACAAUAUGUUGAAAUGGAGGCAAAGCUUAUUUAUUAAUAUUUUCGAUAAAGCCACAAAUAUGUACAUAUACAUGAGUCAAAAUAAACAAACAAAAGGGAGCCUUCACAAAGGUUGCUUAAGGGAAGUCUCAGCAGUCGGUAGAGCCCCAGAAAGAGAAAGCACCGGAGGGUGGUUAUCCGGAGCCUCAGUACUUGACAAAACCCCAGAAGGAGGAGGCAUUGGAGGUUCAUCAUUUGAAGCUUCAUUACCAGGUACAGCCCCAGAAGACGAAGGCAAUAAAUGCCUUUGGAACAAACCCACAAACCGCUGUUGAUCAAGUAAAACCUUACCAUCAGAUUCCUUCAUCUGGUCAAGCUUCCUCUUCAUGUUUGUAGCAUAGUCAUGGGCGAGCCGGUGCAACUGUUUAUUCUCAUGCUUGAGCCCUCUAAUCUCCUGUUUGAGACUCAUCACUUCAGCAGCCAAUGAUUCAACUUGGCGGGUUUCUAGCAAAUAGGCGUUGGGCCAUAUUAGACACAGAACCUGCACACUGAACACUAAGAGCCAGAGAGUCCUUAACAGCCAACUCAUCAGACCGUUUGGAAAGUAGUCUGUUAUCUUGGGGAGUGAGAAGGUUCCUGGCCACCACUGCAGCGGUCAUAUCAUUCUUCAUCACAGAAUCCCAAACGGUAAGAGGACCAGUAGGGGAUAUGAAGGAUGGGCGCCAUAUGUUGUCUGGAGAAGGCGUGGCUGUCUCUUCUCCAAGGUUCAAGUCAAAACGACGGUCGGAGGGUCCAGACAUUUUCAAAUGUGUUGAAGAGGGAAGAGGUCAGACAAAUCAAGAUCUUAGAAGUGUAAGAAUGGAGCUUCUACUGGUAGAGAUUCAAGUGUGCUGUGGAACUUAAUGCCAGCCUCUAUAAAAAUCUGCACUCGACGGAGCUUCAGAAAUCGAAGAGGCAUUUGCUUUCUCAAAAGCUGGGCUGCUCAGAGACCACGAGGGCCGAUCUCAGAAAUCGAAGAAGCACCUGCUUUUUCAGCCUCGUCAGCACCUGUCACAUGCACACACUCAGCUUUGCGAAAAUUACGGGCAAUCUGUCGAAGAUUUCUGGUGAAGUAGAAAGCACGUGAAUCUUACUGUUCAAUCACCGCUCUCCACAUGCACCAUCAACUCCUCGGGUACCACAUAUAACUUUGUCAAAGAUCUCUGACAAAGUUUAGGCACGAGAAUUUCGAAGUUCCAGUUACCCUACUAUUACCCACAAGGGUAAAGGAACAGCACCACUGCUUGACAACUGGAAAGUCCAUAUGUGUGUCGACCUCCGUGUUUUGCAGCAAGACAGGUUGGCAAGAACGUCCAACCUUUACUCACAUUCGAGAAAAGACUCCCAACAUAAUUACUUUCUCAAAAACUGAAGUAGCACCGCUUUCCGAAUCUCGAAAGUCAGAUCCUCGACGGGAUUGCUUGUUCGAAAACCGAAGAGGCACAACUCUCAGAACUUCGAGAGCUAGAUUUCCUUAGAUAAAGCUUGUCUGUAAUCUUCACACGUAACAUCAGCUUUCCAGAUACCACAUACCACUUUUUCAAAGUGCUCUGACAAAGUUAAAACACGUGAAGCUGGCAGCUCCCACUACAUUGCUAUUACCCACAAGGGUAAAGGAAUAGCACUACUACUUGUUAUUGGGAAAUCCCUAUAUACAUCGACCUCCCUCCUCAACGGACAGGCAAACCUGCAAAAAUGCUCAACCCUUUCUCACAUUCGAGAAGGCACCCUCAACAUAACCUCUCGAAAUACUCAGCUUUAUUUCCCCCCGAUAAUACCUCAGCAAAUAAGCCACACCAAGAACAAGAGUAUCUCAUAUCAUCAGGGUCGAAAGCAAGAGUAUCCCAUAUCAUGCUUUCUCCCUGUCUUUGUCUUUGUCCUUGUCCACACCUGCAGGACAAGGAGAAAGAGAGCAGUCAGUCGGAACCUGAAAUCAAACCUCCAAUCUGGAACUGACUGCCUGAGACCUUUGCCUGGUUGCUUACUCAACAUUGCUCUCGAGUACUCAUCCUCAACUGCUGUCAAGGUCACAAAUUCCACCAACAAAUACCUCAUGACAGUUGAUCAGAUAUUGGCUCUUUACACUGAAGCUGCCAAGCGUGGAUGAGUCAUUAGGAAGGAAUGUUCUGAAGGACCAUUUAAAUGCAAAUGGUACACACCACUUCUGCCAUGCAAAAGAUUGAAGCAGAAGGUUCAACGGUGAGCUGAAACAGAUCACUACAACACGACACAUUUCCAUACCACAUUCAUUAUUCCGUCAACAGCAAAAGUAUCCCAUAUCAUCAAGGUCGAACGUACUCUAGAUUUGAUGGACUUGUUUUGACCCUCAAAUUCUUGAGUCGGCCUUAUACUCUGAAGGGAACCAGAAAACCCUCCAGUACAGUUCAAGAAUAAGCAUGUGGAAAGUUACUUCUUCAAAAGCAAAAGUAUCUCAUAUCAUCUCUUCUCCAUUUGCUUCUCCUUAUCCUGGCAGCUGAAUGAGAGACAAAGAGAAGGAGAACAAUCAACCGGAAGCCGAAGUCGAACCUCCGAUCCUGGGUUGCUUGCUUGGAAGUUUGACUGCUUACCUUGUCUGUCACCUCUUUCGGCAGAUCUCCUAGCUCGGCGACUUGGGGGACUCCUACUAUAUAGGGUUUGUAUUGCACUUGACCAAGCCCGAAACUACAAGUAAGCUUCAAGUGAAAUUGAUACAUUACCUUGUGCAUUUUCAUCGGUUAAAGAUACCACCCAUGGAUGGAGGAAAAGUACUUCCAGAGAAGAUGCCACAUCUACAUAUGAGACAGAUAAGGCACGUGAAAAUGAUACCACACUUCAGUACUUAGAAGUUUCGUGAUUACUCAAUGGCUUGGAUCUUGCAAGUCCCCAACCGAGGAGCUUCCCUCACUCGGGAACUUAGGGGAGCACUGUUUGUACCAUACUUGACCAAUCCCGAAACUACUGAGCACCGGUCAACGUUAUACCGUCAAGGACCUAGAAGAGCUUCCCUUCAACCAGGAGGCCAAUCACAAAGCGACACGUGUUGUCAUCAGAAGCCAAUCACAACACGACACGUGUCGAUGUUAGAACAAAACUAGAAACUCUCCUCUAUAAAUAGGGAUCAUUCUCCCACAAUAAUCUCGAAUGUCAUUUUUGUACUAAACUAUUCACUAGACUCACUAAACCAGAGCUUGAACCUAUGUAUUUGUGUAAACCCUUCACAAUUAAUGAGAACUCCUCUACUCCGUGGACGUAGCCAAUCUGGGUGAACCACGUACAUCCUGUGUUUGCUUCCCUGUCCUUAUUCAUUUAUGUACUUAUCUUCACUAGUGACCGAAGCAACCAAGCGAAGGUCACAAACCUGACACUUUCUGUUGUACCAAAGUCCUCGCUGAUUUUGUGCAUCAACACACUCCUUUUUGAAAACUCACGGCAACCUCUACCCGUUUCUUUCUCCCACGUUGGUUUCAUAUAUAUCUAUAUAUAAAUAUAAAAUUUUGUGAGAUAUUAAAUUCUUUUUAUCUCAUUUUUAAAUUUCUUAGAUAUUUUUUAGAUAUAAUUUUGGUAGAUUAAUAUUUUCUCAGAAAAUCGAAGAGGAGUGGAGUUGGUCACGUCUUUUUUUUUUUUCAUUUUUCAAUAAAACGAAUUAUAAAUUUUUGUUUUUUUAACAAUAUUUCUAUGAGAUAUUAGUCCCUCUCUCUCUCUCCGAAAUUGGAGGAGGAGGGGAGUUGGUCACGUCUUUUCUUUUUUCUUUUUUUCAUUUUUUCAAUAAAAAACAAUUUUAAGUUUCUGUUUUUUCUUACAAUACUAUGAUUGCGUUUUAUUUUGUAUUUUCUUAUUUUUAUUUCUGUGAGAUAUUAAACACUCUCGCUCUCCUAAAAUGGAGGAGGAGUGGUGUUGGUUGGUUGGGUUAAAUUCUUUUUAUCUCAUUUUUUUUAUAAGAAAAUAAAUCAGGGAUUUCAGCACAUCCCCUUUUUAUCUCUUUUUUUUCCUAAUAAAACGAAUUAUAAUUUUUUUCUUUCUAACAAAAUUACCCUUCGGUUUUUAUAUUUAUUUUUUCUGUCUGUUUUUAAAAAAAAAAUUUGUUUGAGGGGCUUUAUAGUCUAAUUAUUUUUGGUGAAGCCUCAAGACACUAAACUUUCCUUCUGACUCUCUAAUAUUAAAGAUUAAAGAUAUUGUUUCUACAUAAUAAAUGUUGUCUCUCUUUUCUAGUCACUUAUUGAAAUUAAUUAAAAACGGAAUCAUUUAUGCCUGGUUUGAUAAUUAUUUUGGAUUUAGUUUUCAGAUUUUAUUUUUUGUACUUGAGAUAUGAGAAAUGAAAGGUAAAGUGACAGAGAAAAGAAGAAAUAAGAAAUACUUCGUCCCUUGUAUUUUUUCUUUAUCAUUAAACAACAUAAGUAAAACUAAAAUAACAAAACGAAUUGUAGAUAUGAAUUGAAGUCUUAGUUUUGCAAAACUAACUGUAUGUUCAAACAUGGAAGAGAAGAGUAGCUAAGCGAUUAUAAAUUUAUAAUACUUGAUCAGGUGAAGCAUGGAAGAGUAGCUCCAAUAUAUUUAUUAAUUUAUCCUUACAUGCAUGGUUCCCUUCGCUGUGUCUUCAAUUCAUAAAUAUCAUCUAUUUGUACUAUCUCUUUAAUAAAAAUAGGAUCCACCAAUAUAUAUGGAUUCCAUCUCUAUUAAUAAAACGAUACAAAUAAAUGAUGAAAAUAACAUUUUUGCAGCAAAUAUUACUCCAAAGUUUCCCCAAGUCAAAGUAAAAAAUCCAAAAACCCAAAGAAAUAACCACAAGAUAUACCGGUGGAAAAUUUAGUACAAAUACAAAGCAGAUAGAUAAAUAGUUAUUGAAACUUCAACUUCAAGCCGUUAAACCCACGCUGUGAAGCACGACGGUCUCCACCGUGAGGCCGGGCCCAAAUCCGAAAAGCACACCCCACUCCAGUCCCUCCCCGGUCGUUUUGAGUCCUUUCUCGGCGGACUUCCUCCUGACCUCGUCCAAAAUAAAAAGCACACAAGCACUCGACAUGUUACCGUAAUCCGACAACACUUGCCUUGUUGCUUCUAGUUUCUCCGGCUUCAAUGCCAACUUGGCCUCUACUUGGUCCAGAAUAGCAGGGCCACCUGGGUGUGCAAUCCAGAAGAGUGAGUUCCAGUCCGAAAUCCCAAUAGGCUUGAAAGCCUCAUUAAGGCUCUUUUCGAUGUUCUUCGAAAUAAGCCCGGGAACAUCCUUGAGAAGGUGAAAUGUAAGCCCUACUUCACGGAGAUGUCCGUCGAUAGCCCCAUCACUGUCGGGGAGAAUGGUUUGUGCCGCCGACACCAAUUCAAACAAGGGCUUCUCGACUUCGGGCACUGGAUCCGCACCAAUGAUUACGGCCGCUGCACCGUCGCCAAACAAAGCUUGGCCCACAAGACUAUCAAGGUGGGUGUCACUAGGCCCACGGAAGGUAACCGCGGUGAUCUCAGAGCACACAACAAGAACACGUGCACCCUUGUUGUUUUCGGCCAAGUCCUUGGCCAAACGGAGGACCGUCCCACCGGCGAAGCACCCUUGCUGGUACAUCAUGAGGCGCUUGACGGAGGGGCGGAGGCCCAAGAGCUUGGUGAGUUGGUAGUCGGCGCCAGGCAUGUCGACACCGCUGGUGGUGCAAAAGACCAAGUGGGUGAUUUUGGACUUGGGCUGUCCCCAUUCCUUGAUGGCUUUGGUGGCAGCCUCUUUGCCAAGUUUUGGGACUUCCACAACCACCAUGUCCUGCCUUGCAUCAAUUGAAGGAGCCAUGUACUCGCACACACUUGGGUUCUCUUUUAAAAUUUCUUCAGUCAAGUACAUAUAACGUUUCUUGAUCAUAGAUUUGUCGCCUGAAAAUAUUUGCAUGUAUAUACAAAAUUAAUUAUGCAACAAAUUAUAGAUCCACAGCUGAUGAACUAUAAACAAAUUGCUAUAUAUAUAUAUAUAUAUAUAUUUAUUAAAGAAGCCAAAACGCAAGAUUAGUAAAAUAAGAAAAACGGAGAAGUUAAGGAGUACAUACACAUGCGCUGGAAUUUUUCUUUGAGCUCAACCUUGUGCUCGCUGUUGGUGAUACGAAAGUAGUAGUCGGGGUAGGUAGCCUGAUCCACACAGUUGGAAGGAGUUGCUGUCCCGAUGGCCAUGACUGUGGCUGGACCCUCCGCCCGUUGAGCCUUGCGAACUUCCUCGACUGUAACCAUUUUUUCUGUAUAUCCGAUCGUCGAGAAAGAUCAAAGAGGCUAGUUACAGUUGCAAUGGUAAGGUAGAAGUUGAGGGUGUGACACAAUGUUAAGAGAAGCGGUUGUAUUUAUAUGAAAAUGGUGAAAGCGGGUAGCUGGGCAUCACGUGCCUGACGAAUUGUGUUGUUAGAAUAGAAAGCCUCACCCUCAACCCACCUACGAGAUACAACUGCGAGCGACCAGUGAGGCUCGGCUGCUUCGAGUACUAUAUUUGUAUUAGUAUAACGGCGCAGGUGGUAGGUACAGGAUCGCAGUUCCUGUGUUCAACUACCAGGGCUGCAGAGAUAUUUUGGUCAAUAAAUGGGUUUUUUUAGCUAAAAUAAUCCCUGAGAUUUGUAUAACUUCUCAUUUUAGUCCCUGAGAUUUAAAAUCAAUAGAAUUGAUUCCUGAAUUUGUCGACAAUCAAUCAUUUUAGUCCUUAGGUGAAAAAUUAUGUUAAAUAAGUAUCAAACUGACUUCAAUUUAAUAAACAAUAUGCCAAAAUGAUUAGACAAAAAUUGAGGAUAUUUUUGUCAUUUUACCCUUAUUUUAUGGAGAUUUUUCAUAGAAUGACCAAAAUGAUUGAUUGUGGACAAACUCAGGGACCAAUUCUAUUGAUUUCAAAUAUCAAGGACCAAAGUGAGGAGUUAUGCAAAUCUUAAGGAUCAUUUUGACUAAAAAGGCCAAUAAAUGUUAGCAAAAUUUGAUUUUGUUGCAUGUGUUACAAUAUUUUAAUGGAUAAAACAUUAGGUUUCUACUCAUGCAUCAUGGAUUUAAGAACUCUUAACUCCCCAAAAUUAUUCCCGUAAUAGUUUGGGGGUUUUUUUUUUUUUUUUUUGGUUGGUUAAAGAAAUAAAUGUUAGCAAGAUUAAUAUCUCAAAAGGUACAAGAGUCAAAAACAUGCCACGCACCAAAGUCGAACACCUAUAACACAAAGAAAGUCCGCCAUUUUUUAAAAAAUCACAAUUAGGACAUAAAUUCAUGUCUAUAGGCUAGGGAUGGGCAAAAGCCGGUAUGAUUCGGCAUUAACCUCAAGUUGCACAUCAUGUCAAACCAACGUAACAUUUUUUUUUUUUUUAACGCAACAAACGUAACAAUGUAACAUAAUUGAGCCAAUUUAACUCGUUUACAAAUUUGUUUUGGUCAUUUUCUUGAUGAGCAAUUAAACAAAUAUUCCAAAAAUCUCUUACAUGUAUGAGAGGAAACUUCAUUCUGUACAAUUGAAGAUUUGUUGAGGAAAUUUUGAAAGAUGACAUAAUUCAAAUAAUGGUUUAGGAUUUUAGCUUUGAUUUUUUUUUUUAAUAAAACGAUAUAUAUAUUUACAUUGAAGUGUAGAAGAAUUUAAACUAAGUUACUUAUUGGGCUAGCCAAAUAAGUUGAUUUGAACUUGCCUUCGACGAGAGUUGAGGUGGAGCAAGUGUAUUUGAACUUGCCAAAUAAGUUGGUUUGAACUUACAAGUAAAGAAGAUUUUAGUUUUGAUAUUAAAUAGUUGAUAGCAAUGUGUGUAGUGGUGGAGCAAGAAUUGUAAGGUUCGUUGGGGCCGAAAUUUAAAUUAUUUCUUUAGGUUUUUUAUUUUUUUAUUUUUUAUAAAUUAUUUUUUAAGGUUAAGAGCAAUAUAAUCCUUUGUAAUUAGGAAUAUAUCACAAUCAAUUUUGGUUUGGGUCAAUAAGCUUUAUUUAUUUAUUAGCUUUAGGUCAAUUAGGCAAACGCAUAAUUUUUACAUGUGGUUCAAUAUCCUAGUAUAUAGAGUAUUAGGUUUCUACUCAUGCGUUCUGGGUUCAAAACUUUCUCUCUCCUAAAUUAUCGUAAUAAUUUCGAACUCUCCUCCUCCCCUAAUAAUAGUAUAUUAAAAAUAAAGGCAAACCCAUGAAUUGAUUUCCAUACCCUUGUAAUUGAGUAAGAAACUUACACUUGUAGAUUUAUAGCUUGUUUACGCAACUGUACUCGGAAUCAACAUAUGAAAUUGAAUUCCAAUUAUAAGAUACAAUAGUGUUCACCAAAUUUAGGGAAUCAAAAGGUUGGUGGGGCCCACACGAAUGUUGGAAGCCAACUCCAAAAUGUGGAGGAUUUGAACACCUUACAUUUAGGUGGUAAUCAUGAUUCCAGGAGAAUCCACUUUUUUGUACAUAUUAUACCUUCACAUAACCCAACAACAAUCUGCACGUUCUUUCUUCUCUGUGCUCUUCACACAACUACCAUCUCCACCACUAGCAACCCCCGCUUUCCGCUGUACCUUCCCCCACCACCUGCUAUUAACCCCCGUCGUACCUUCCCCCACACCAACAACCUUCACUUCCCAUGCAAUUAGUUGUACAAGAAAGUAAUGCAGAGAGAGAAAGGACCCUAUUCUAUGGCUUCCAAUCAAAGAAAUAAUUUGAGAUCUCGAGAGAGAGUGUUACAGUGGGAUAUGUAGGUUAUUUUCUAGUUGUAUUCUUCUUUACUUGUAAGUGAAGGAUUUUAGUUUGAUUCUCGCUAAACGCGAAUUUGAACCAUAUUAUUACUAGCUUAUUGUGAGGUUUAGCUCACUCCCCUCACCCAUUGAUAUAGCUAAUAUCGUUUGCUAAAAAAAUUAUAAACUAAUUUAUUACAAUAGUGACAGUUUAACUCUUCACUUUAACAAACAAAUAAAAAUAACUAUUUAAAUUGUUAUUAAAAAUAAAUAUAGGAAUGAAAUAAAACAAAAACAAUGAGAUUUUAGUAAUCAUAUUAAUUUCUAUUUCGAUUCAGGUGAAUUAGUAAACAAUCCACAUGAACUCAACUUUAUUCUCAUUCGGAUUCCAAAACAUUUAAAUAAACAAUUUCAACAUGAAUCCGAUUCGGACCUCUUGUUAUUCCAACUCCUUCUAUUGUGAUUACGGUUACGUAAAUAAGUCAUUAAUGAUCUAAAAGACUAAAAAUUCUAAGUUGCGUGUCAUUGAAGCUCAAAAUUUACAUUGCAUUGCAGCUUUCGUUCUACGAAUUCAAAUUCAGUAUUUGUAAUUUCUAUUUCAUAAUAUCUAAAUUAGUUACAACUUACAAUUAAUAUUGGUUUGAUUAAUAAAUAGGGAAACUAAUGAAAAUAAAUUUAAUACUUUCAAUUUUAAUAAAAAAUUAAGUAAUAAUUUUAUUUAAUAAUUAGGACAAAACUCAAUAUCAAACCAGUUCAAUAAAACUGACCCAAACAAAUAAUUUAUCAAGCUUCCAGUUUUACCCCUAACGUCUCUUGUCCCGUUUAUGUGCACCUGGGUAAAUGAGUUGGUGACGAACUUGUGCCGCCCAACCGGCAAGAUUCUAUACGGGGUAACUUAUCGAACAUUGCCAACCCUCAUCUAAUCGCAAUCUUUUACAUCACUAAAAUGCUUUGUGGGAAACCACCGGUCCCACCUCAUGGCAGACUGUCUCUGCAUGCCUCAAUUUACGACUUGAAGGGAUAUGCAGACCCACUGAACAUCAUUUGAUGGGCAUAUUACAAUUAUAUAUAUGGAAAUCAUUUUCUUGAUAAUCUUCUAAUCAAGAUCGUUUAUCGUACAUUGUAUAGUUAUAAAUUAUUUUAAAUUUUAAAAUAAAUAUAAAUAGUACCUAAUAAAAACUGACCCUACGAUGUACGCUGAACAGUUAUGAUUACGAGAUCCCAGAACCCAAAAAAAAAGAUCCAGCAAGGAUGCUCCUAUAUAUAUAUAUAUAUGCCCAUUGCUAAGUGAUUUAUGUCGAGAUUCACCUGGGUAGGUUUAGGGUACAAAAAUCAUUUUAUCAUCUAUAUUUGUCCCUUUUUGUGCGGUAGCCAUGUUUUUACCAUUAGUAAAAAAAAAGUAUAAAUGAGAAAAAAGACGUAAUAGUUUUUAAUUUUCCCAUCCCAAGUUUUCUAUGGAUACACGCAUAGUGGUGGUUGUUAAAUAUCUGAAUAAUAUUGUGUCAAACGCUAAUGAUUUUAUGGAAGACCGUGGGGCUAAUUUGCACUUUCAGAAGUUUUUAUGUACAUGCGGCUUAGCAAACUUCCAAUAUUGGAGAAAACAAUACAGAAAGAAAAUAUCUUCUCGGAAACCUAUUUGAGAAAGAAAAAGAAAUGUCUUCUCGGAAACCCUUAGGCCUCGUUUGUUUGACCUUCUUAGCUAUGACUGGACUAGCUAGGACUAAUAACCCAUGUUUGGUAUAUCAAGGGACUAAGUUAAAUGGGAUUAGUUCGAACUCGUGCCGACUAAGUCCUUUGCUCGCUGAUCUUAGCUAAACCCCUCGAAAACUACGGGAUUGCUAAUCUCGUCUCCACCACUACCAACAUCCCGCGAACCCAGUCAUCAAAAUCUAGCCUUUUUGCCAAUCUCCGUCAUCCAGCAAACCCAGCAAACCCAACCCCCUAUUUGCUUCCCGACGAACCCACAACCCAAAUUUCCCAACGAACAGACAAAAGAACGCUUAACACUUAAUCGAUAUGCAGAAAUGGGUUCUCCAUUUUCGUCGAUUGAACUGGAAUUAGACCCAUAAAACAGAGAUAACGGUCUUCGCCUAAAGAACUUUGGAUCCGAAAACGAUCUUCACAAUUUGAGAUCCCUCUGCCACACCGCAGCUCCUACUCCAAGCACUUCCUUGGAGGCGAAAUGAAAUGAAUACAAGGGGAGAGAGGGGAGAGGGGAUAGUGGUACAUAUGUGAAACAGAAGAAAAAGGAAGGGGGAAGGAGGAGACAGAGGGCAGAGUAAAAAAUGGAAAAUUAUAAAGAGAGAGGCAUAGAUAUCAGAGAAGAAGAUAAGUCUAGAACAAAUGGAAAAUGAAAAAGAAAUAAUAAAAUAUUAAUUAAUAUAGAUUAAAUUUUAAAAAAAUAUAUUAAUAAAUAUAUAUUAAAUAAUAUAAUAUUAUAGUCAUGCUUCUUAGUCCGACACUGCACCAAACGCUUCACUUAGUUAGUCCAGCUUAGUCUAGUAUAAGCCAGUCCAGUUUAGUCCCUGAAGUUAGUCCAGUCUAAGACAGUCUGAUGCAACAAAUGCACCCUAAAGGUUGGCAGAGAGGAAGAUUUGAAUGGUGGAAUGUGCAUUAGAAUACUUUGAGCUGACUCCAAUAACAUUCCACCGCUUUAAAGUUUUAUUAGGUUUUAAAACUAAAUCUUCCGUUAGGGCGAUGGAAAAUUUAAUAGUUUAAGAAAGUUAUAAAGGGCGGUGGAACUUAAGGUAUGCUAUAUGCUAUAUAUAUGAUUCCGUGGAUGCAAUUUCAAUGGUUACGAGACAGGAGAUGUGUAUGUUUGUGUAUGUGCUGCUGGCAGCUCCUCAUACCGCACAGAUGCAGCUGAAGGCCUCCAUUAUUCCACGUCAGUCAGUGGUUCAAUAGUUAAGAGGAUGAGAUGGAUGGACCUCGUCAAUACAACAUGCAGGGAGGAUGUUUGGCCUGUGUUUGGAGAGGCAUGUAUAUGUCCAAUUUUCCUCCCACUCCUCCUCCACCUACUCGCCGCAACUGGGGUCCACUCCAACCCCCAGUCCAAACCCUAAACCUCCAAAUUCGGACCCUCCAUUCCACCCCGUCCAAAUCCAAGCCCCUCCUCCUCCUCUAUUCCACCCCAUUUAGAGAUGGGCAACGGUUAUGGAAGGCGGGUAGCCGCGGUUAUUUACCCAUAACCGUUUAAGUGUUUACCCGCAUAACCGUUUAGACCAUUGGGUGUUUACAUAAACAGGUAUACCCAUACGCAUAACCGUUUAUAAACGGUUAAUCAUACCCAUAAUUGCAUACCCAUUUAACCAUAACCGCGUACCCGUUUACCUAUUUUUAACCAAUUUACUCUUCUUCUUUUUUACCCGUCUACCUAUUUUUUUAACAACUUAAAAAUUAAAAUGAAAUUUGUCAUAAUUUUCUUUUUCUAACAAUUAAAUACCGUUAUAAAUACAUUUAACAUGAAUUUUUGUAUUAACGGCAAUAUUAUUUAUGAAUAUAUGCAAUGUCUCCCAAUUAUUUGACGGUCAAUCUAUUAAAAGAAUCAUGCAUGGUUGUAGAUUAAUUAAUAUUCUUGUAUACAUACAUACAUACAUACAUACAUAUAUAUAUAUAAGUACGCAUCAGUCGGCUAAUAAACUAAUUUGAUAAAUAUUUGAAUUUUUAUUUAGAAACAUAUGUUCAUUAAUCCAAGUCAUUUAAUUGAUUUCUAAUUUUUGGGUCAAAUAUUUAAUGAAAACUUGAGGCCAAUUAAAUAUAUAUACAUAUAUAUAGGUACCCAUUAGUCGACAAUAACAUGUUUCUAAAAGCUCAAGGUAAUCAUUAUCUUGAAUUAGCCAAAGCUCCAAAAGACUCUAAAACAAAACUGUCGAAUACUCUAAUGCUUUAGCACAUUCAAUCUCAUAUAUUAAACAUUGACCCGUUCUAUCAACUGUAUUUUUCUCUCAAGUGAGGCAUAUAUAUAUAUAUAUUAUGGCCCUUUAUAACCAAAUAUGUCUCGGGAUACUAAACUUAGCUAGAAACUUUUUUUUUUUGUAGUUUUACAUAUAUUAAAAUAAAUGGUUAAAUGGGUACCCGUUUAUAACCUUGGGUAAUACCCAUAAUCGUCCAUUUAAAUUUUACAGGUAAACGGUUAUACCCAUAACCGUUUAUUUAUCUAAACGGUUACCCAUAACCAUAACCGUCAAAUUUAAAUUGGCGGAUAACCACGGUUACCUAUAACCAAUGGGUAUUUGCCCAUCCCUAACCCCAUUCCACACCACCGACGUCGUGAUGCGGUUGUAGAAGACGAGGAAAAGCGAGUACUUGAAAAAUGCCUUGUUGUCGCCGUACGACACUCUCAUGAUCUUCUCCUGCAAUAAAUUGAAGCAAAAGAUUCAACAUUUCCGCUGUGAAAACGGAGAUCGAUUCGAUGAAUUGGAGAAAUGCGAGGGAAUUAGGGACCUGGAAAACGUCGUAGGUGAUGAGUGUGGUCAUGAUUCCGGCCACCGCAAAAACCCCUUUCCAUAGCUUGCUCGGUUGUGAGGGUGGUUGGGUGGGGAAGACGAUUUCUGGACCAGUUUUUUAUUUAUUUAUUAUUUUUAAAGGGUAAAUAUUAUAAUAAUUUUAAUGUAUAAAAAAUUAUUUUUUUACCACGUGGCAACCACGUCAGCUCUUAACGGAUCAAUGGAUGUAAAAUAUAACGGAUGUAUUAUAUUGAAAUAAAAUGGUACAUGAGGUAUGAAAGUGAAUGUUUUAAAGAUGUUGUAUGAGGUUGCAAUAGACCUCAAACUUAAGGUGGUAAAGUGUAAUUUACCCAGAAAAAAAUGUACCAAUAUAAGUUUAAAAAUGGAUUAGAAAAAACAGUAUUGACACCUCUCACUAUUAGGUUUAACAUGUGAACAACUAUGUAAAAGCUUAUCUUAGGUUCACUCUAAUUAGAAAUAAUAAUAAUAAUAAUAAUAAUAAUAAUAUCCACAAAUACAACUAAAAAUACAGGAUGUUACACUUGUGGAGAUGAAAAAUAACUGGCAUUAGCUGACUAGCACUUAAAAAAAUGUAGGAAGUUAAUUUCCAUUUUGUAUAAAUAUCCAUACUACUAGGAUGAUAAUAUUCUUUACUUUAUGCUGCACCGUUACUUAUGUGUUGAACUUUGCAUUGUGAUAAGAUUUCAACCUUGCUCACAUGCAUACUCUUAUUUUAAUUACGUAAAAUUUUAAUUUACUGGUACUUUUCCACAUCACAAUCACUUUAUAACUUUGUUACCUUCCAUGUGUCAUUCAACAUGCCUUGAUUGGGGGUGUAUUAGUUUUUUGAUAACCAAGGAGAUAUAUUGUUAUAUCACUAAGUUGGAGUCAUUUUUACAUAAAUUUUUUUGUUGUCAGAAUGUAAGACUUUAUUAAAUUGGAAUAAAAAUAUUUACAUCAAUAUGCCAAAAUAAUGAAAAUCAAACUCAGGACCAACAAAAUUCUACAAAUGAGAGCCGCCAUGCCUAGCUGCAUAUGAGGCCAGAAAGUGUGCUACCCUAUUGCUAGCUAUCACAAUGGGAAAACAAAAACACAACGGAGCCGAUAGUUCUAGAUAAAGCCCAGAUAUCAUAAACUUUUGGUUCAAAUUUGUAGAAUUAUUAAAGAGACUGGUCAAAGAGCCACUUCUAACAAUACCAAUAUUGUAUCUAACUUAGAAAUUACCACCUACACAAUCCGUCAGGUGUAAGGUUUUAUCACCAAAAAUCUCGGUAUUAAUUGAAGUAAGAUUAGAAUAUUUAAACUCUUCUUUUAUCAAAGAUACGAUCGAUGUGAGAUAUUUCAAUAAAAUUCUAGAGUAAAAAAUUGAGCUAUUUCUCCAAGUCCCCCACCAAAUACAAUAUUAUGUAUGCAUUAUUAUUUUGAACAGUUUCCGGUUCCACAUUCUUGUAUAUAAGAUUGUUUUCGUGACAAAACUCAACUAUCGACAGCAGCUUCUACAUUUUAAUUAGCUGGAUUGCUUCAUUGUUUCGUUUAUGAAUCCCAUCAAUUUUUGAAUGAACAUAACAUAAACUUUCUGUUUGUCCUCAAGUAAUGCGGUUUUUGCGAUGGAAUCCCAAAGCUACCCACAACACCGCACCACACCUUCUUAAUCUCUUUCUUAAUUUAUAUAUUUGGGUCUUUAGUCAUCCACUUUUUGCUUCAGUCGCCUUCCUCACCCCAAAUUAAUCGGUCACACCCUUUUUGCAAAACAAAUCGUGCCCGUCAGAUAAACAACAAGAAGAAUUGUGUUAACAUGUAUCGGGGGAUGGUUCUUCUCCUGAUCGACUAAUUUGGCCCAAAACAAAAAAUGGCGUUUACUCAGUGAAGUCGGGCUAUAAUUUUUGUCAUAAUCCCAGAGCAUUGGAACUCAACUUAUGCAGGGGUACAUCGCAGAGCUCUCACCAAAUUGGGGAUGCAUUUUGGAAGUUGAUGUGGAAGAAAAAAACUUUACCCAAGAUUGAACUCUUUCUGUGGCGUGCGGCUACUAAUUGGUUACCUACGGUGCUUGCUCUAUACAACAAGAGGGCUGCCCCAAACCCGCUCUGCCCUUUAUGCAAAGAAUUCCCAUAAUCAACGGAGCAUGUCAUUUUCCUGUGUCCUUGGACCAUCGGCGUUUGGUUUGCUAGUUCUCUCAAUUAUCGAAUUAACAGAUCAAGCAUCACAACCUUUGAUGACUGGUUUUUAGCCUUAAAGAGAGAUGCAGGUCAUAUCUCUGGUGCUUCUAGUCCCUGCUUAUCUUCCUCGCCCCUCCAAGCUAAGGCAAAGGCUGCCCUUCUAGCUGUCCGCUCAGCGAUCCACAACAAUUUGUAGGAUGUGGUCUUCGAAUCCGACUCUUUGGAGCUCAUUAACAACAUCAAGGGUGACUUCAAGUAUGGAAACUGGACCAUUUAUCCCCUACUAAUCCAAAUUCGGAACCUCUCCAAUAGUUUUCAUUCGAUCAACUGGCGGUGGAUUCCUCGUCAAGCGAAUUGCGCAGCCGAUUGGGUUGCUUCGCAAUGUAAAAGAGGGAUGCGCUCUGAUAUUUGGGUCUUAAGGCCCCCUCCUUACUAGUUCACAUUUUAUCCAAAGAUGGUCUCCCUACCCUUGCCCCCCUUAAACCUUUGGAGGCUGCGUUUGGGAAGGAUUGCAGAUUGGACCUCAGCCUCGCUUAUGUGUCGUGCUCUGCCUCCUUCCCAGGCUCAGCUUGGGCGAGACCUCUUUUGGUUUUGUAUCUCUUUUCCCUUUCCUCUGCCUUGUUUAUUUUUCUCUCCUUGUACUGCCGUAUGGCUUUUGGGCUCUGCCCCUAAUGAAUGGUUCUCUAUUGUCCAAAAAAAUAAAAAAAAGAUAAACAACAAGAAGAAAUAUAUAAAAAGAAGGAUUGAAAUUAAGAUUUGCAAAUUCUGAGUUUAAUGUAUCACAUCCGAGUUUAUAUGUAACUAACUUUAGGAGGAGUUGAAAUUAGACCAUAUCAGUGAGUCAAUAUCAUAGUGCUUGCACACUAAUGUCCCAAUAUAUAUAUAUUUUUUCCUUUUGAGUACAACAAUAUAUUUUACCCUAAGGGAGGAGGAGUUCGGCUAAGCCAUACAAUGACCAACCUAAUUUGGUAUCGAAUUCGUCAUUCACGAUAUUCGAACCUAAGACAUCUUACUUACAAGUGAAAAGAAAUACCGUAAUACUGAGUGACACUAAUGUCCCAAUUAACUAACUUAUUCCUUUGCCACCAUAUUAGUUUUAUAUUAAAUGCACAUCAAUAUUUGACAGAAAAAUUAUUAUUUUUUUCCUUUUUACGAAAGUGACAUUACAACGAAUUCGUAAGUUGAUAUAUGACAUUUCAAUGUUUAAAAGGUGAGGUAUAAGAUUGUCAUGCGACCCAAAGUUGAGGUGAUAAAAUUUACUUUACCCCAAAGUUUCAUCACUUUAGCUACUAAAUUUGUUAGCUAAAGUGAUGAAACUUAAGAAGAAAUAUAGUUCAUAUAAAGAAAUGUGAGAUUUCACCAUAAAACCAAGCAAUAUGAGGAGGAGCCAAAUUACUUAUGAGCCAUAUGCAAGGUCCCUCAUUUCCCCAAUGUGGAAUUGAUUAUCUCAACAGUCAUGUCACGUGUGAUGAAUUUUCAAGCUUCGCACGUGAAAAACAUAAAUCGGAUGAUGUGGAACAUGUGUGGCUAUUAGGUUGGUAUUCACACGAAAUACGACCUACUAUAUACUACAAAGAAAGUUAAAAUUUUAUCAUAAAAUUAAAUGAAAAUAUAAAAAUUAACUCAAUUACUUAUAAGCAAGGUCUAAAAUAUCGAUGAUAUCGGAAAUAUCGGUAGUUCAAAAACACGGAAAUUUCGAUGAAAAAUCGGGAUAUUAUCGAUAUCGAUAAAAAUUGAAUAAAAACCACGGAAAUUUUAAGAAAAACUUAGAAAUUUUUAUUGAAACUUUGCAGGAUGUUUAUUUAGUCAAUUAUCUAUUAGUUUAUCACAAAAAAAUUGGAAGGAAAUGCAUUGCAUGAUGGAUUUAACUGAUUUAAGUUGAUUAUAUAGCGAGCUGGCAAACAUUGUGAGUGUAGAAAAUAUGUAGUAAUUAAUGAAAGAAGUUUAAACACACCAUAAUCAUUUAUAUAUAAUGAAUUAGUACAAUAUUUUACACUUUAUAUAUUACAUGGUAAAAUACAUGAGUAACUUAGUACCACGUAGAGUUCCUAUCAAGGUCUAAAAUAUCGAUGAUAUAGGAAAUAUCGGUAGUCCAAAAACACAAAAAUUUCGAUGAAAAUAUCAGGAUAAUAUCGAUAUUUUAGACAUACAAAAUCUGAUUUCCUGUAAUGAAUAAUUGAUUGGGAGAAUGUUCAGUGGGCAACCAUCCACGCCGAACUAAAAAAAUGCACGUGCUAGCCGGCCGGUGAAGCCUAUUAUCCUUUGUCUCCUUCUCCAGAUGGUUGUUGGUGAUCCCAAUGAUGGCUGGCAUGCAUUGGUCAAUCACGUGACCCUCAUCUACCCUCUUUCCCCUCUUUUCCUUAUAUAAAUACAAUCCACUUCAAUCAAUAUUUUGUCACAACCUCUCCUCUAACAACACCACCUAUAGUUCUAGCUUUAACUCUCUGUCGUAUUUGAUCUUUCUCGACGAUCGGAUAUAAAAACAAAUGGUGACCGUCGAGGAAGUUCGCAAGGCUCAGAGGGCUGAGGGUCCGGCCACAGUCUUAGCUAUUGGGACUGCAACUCCUUCCAAUUGUGUAGACCAGGCCACAUACCCUGACUACUACUUUCGUAUCACCAACAGCGAGCACAAGACUGAGCUCAAAGAAAAAUUUCAGCGCAUGUGUAUGUACUACUUAACUUCAUCUCCAUAUAUAUUCCUUCUGUGAAUUAAUAUAUUUUGUUUAGUUUGCAAUUUAUCUUUUUUUUUUUCGCUGAUCAAGUGCUAAAUUGCUACAAAAUUGUUAGAAUUAAGCGAAUUCCAAAUUGGUACACACACUAACAUGAUAUUCAUGGAAGUGCUUGACAACUUCAUUAUGCAUAUCUGUGGGGUAUGCUGAUUUACUGUUUAUAUUUUUGGUGAAUCGGUAUAAGAUUGAUGGACAUUUCAUUUUAUAUUGUAAAUUAAUUAAAAUAAAAUUUAUUUUCGAGAAAGGUCAACCAAAAGAAGUUUUGACCUCUCCUUAAAAGCAAGAAAUUAAUGCUGAUUGACCCAAAUUAAUAUUAAAAUUAUUUCGUCAUCUCAAACAAAUCACCCCAUCUCAAAUGCUUUUUGUUUUAGGGAGUGAAUUCCAUGUAAAGACCAAACUACAACUAUCAUACAAAUAUCAAAACUACAACUCAGUAAAUGUAAGAACCAAACUGACCUUUAAAAUCAACCAAGAAAAAGUUAUGCAAGACCUCAAAAUAGUGCAUCUUCUCUGUAGAGAUUGAAGAUGAUGAAUCCAACAAUUUCUAUAGCAAACCUUCUUCUCGUUGACAAAACCUUAAUGCUCAAAUCAACAAUAUGUCUUCUUUUUUUUCGAAAACAUCAACAAUAGGCCUUUGAUUCAAUAUAGAGUGCAUACUUUGCAAAACCGGAGGCCUACAAUAUAUAGCCUACUAUAUAUACACGUUCAAUCAACACUAGGCCUUUGAUUCAAUAUAGAGUGCAUAAUUUGCAAAACCGGAGGCCUACAAUAUAUAGCCUACUAUAUAUACACGUUCAAUCCACUUGCCAGUGGAUAUGACAUUUUUGUUCAAUUGCAUUACGAGUUCAAACUCUUUCCCUUUCCCUCGAUGUAGCUUAGAUUAGUAGUAUCACUUGUACUAAAAACAAAUUGUGUGGUAAUUAACUUUUCUUGUGACGUUUAUGUAAUUUUCAGGUGACAAAUCUAUGAUCAAGAAGCGUUACAUGUACUUGACUGAAGAAAUUCUGAAAGAAAACCCGACUGUGUGCGAGUACAUGGCUCCCUCACUCGAUGCUCGGCAGGACAUGGUGGUUGUUGAAGUCCCAAGGCUUGGCAAAGAAGCGGCCACCAAGGCAAUUAAGGAAUGGGGACAGCCCAAGUCUAAAAUCACCCACUUGGUCUUUUGCACCACCAGCGGUGUCGACAUGCCCGGUGCCGACUACCAGCUCACCAAGCUAUUGGGCCUCCGCCCAUCCGUCAAGCGCCUCAUGAUGUACCAACAAGGCUGUUUUGCUGGAGGCACGGUCCUCCGUUUGGCCAAGGACUUGGCCGAAAACAACAAGGGUGCACGUGUUCUUGUUGUGUGCUCUGAGAUCACCGCGGUCACCUUCCGAGGGCCUAGUGACACCCACCUUGAUAGUCUUGUGGGCCAAGCUUUGUUUGGCGACGGUGCAGCGGCCGUCAUCAUUGGUGCAGAUCCAUUGCCCGAAGUCGAGAAACCCUUAUUUGAGCUAGUGUCUGCUGCCCAAACCAUCCUCCCCGACAGUGAUGGGGCUAUUGACGGACAUCUUCGUGAAGUUGGGCUUACAUUUCACCUUCUCAAGGAUGUUCCCGGGCUUAUUUCGAAGAACAUCGAAAAGAGCCUUAAUGAGGCCUUCAAGCCUAUAGGCAUCUCGGACUGGAACUCGCUUUUCUGGAUUGCACACCCUGGUGGCCCUGCUAUUCUAGACCAAGUAGAGUCCAAGUUGGCACUUAAGCCGGAGAAACUAGAAGCAACAAGGCAAGUGCUGUCUAAUUACGGCAACAUGUCAAGUGCGUGUGUCUUGUUUAUUUUGGACGAGGUGAGGAGGAAAUCCGCUGAGAAAGGACUCAAAACAACUGGAGAAGGACUGGAGUGGGGCGUGCUCUUCGGAUUUGGGCCUGGCCUCACUGUCGAGACCGUUGUGCUUCACAGUGUGGCUGCUUGAAGACAUGAAAAUCAGCGUUGAUUUAUCUAUCUGCUUCUGCUUCGUAUAUGUAUUGUUUUCACUUUUUUCUGGUUAGAAUUUGGCUUUUCGGAUAUUUUGUUUUUGUUUGAAAAGUGUGUGGGCGUCAUGGGGUUAACUUGGCGCAAGGAAUGACCCUUACUUUCAUGUUGUUUACUGCAAUAUCGAUGAAAAAAGGCCCUAAUUGGGCUUGUAACGAUCGAGUAAAAUAUUGAUUAAUGAAUAAUACCACUCUUUGAUCUCUCGUGUAGUAUAAUCUCUUAUAGCUGCAUCUCCAUUUCAAAUAUUGUGGUAGAGCCCUGCCCCUGAUUUGGGACACGGGAAGUCUCCAUUUC
RNAcentral lists this long non-coding RNA (63950 nucleotides) under Malus domestica (apple). RNAcentral describes it as "long non-coding RNA (MDOM_LNC003486)". Lineage: Eukaryota; Viridiplantae; Streptophyta; Magnoliopsida; Rosales; Rosaceae. The record is from RNAcentral.